Molecule: long non-coding RNA, 46389 nt
Filed under: Triticum aestivum (bread wheat)
Lineage: Eukaryota; Viridiplantae; Streptophyta; Magnoliopsida; Poales; Poaceae
Description: long non-coding RNA (TAES_LNC017621)
Rfam family: MIR1120/MIR1122 microRNA precursor family (bases 3021-3107)
Source: RNAcentral
CUUCAUCCACGCUCAGGUCCCUGAGUCGAGUCGAAAGUAUUGAUGCUAUGUAGUUCUGAAAUAUCGAUUAGCUCAUGUUGUAAUUAAACUUUAAUGAACUUGUAUGUCUCUUUAGUUUGGACAUUCGUUCAACUUAUAUGUAAUCGAUGCUAUUUAUUAGUAGGACCAUGAAUCGUGCUAUUAAUGUGUUGCUUUUCUCUUCCGAUCCUUUUGUUGCAUACUUAUAUAUUGCUUAUAUAUUAUCUGUGAAUUGCUACUAACGUCUUGUUUGUCUAGUGCAUAGAGAUGCUGUCGUAUGUCGUGUACAAGGGUAAGGUUCCCGGUGUCUACGACGACUGGGAGGAGUGUUGGAGACAAGUUCACCGUUUCAGCGGUAACAGUUACAAAGGGUACACCACUAGGGCGGAGGCGGAAGCUAGAUACGCAAGCUAUCUAGCGGGAGAGAGGAGGGAGCGGAGGAGGAACCGGAUGAAGACCAGUUUCAUCGCAAUGAUGCUCAUCGUGACCGCAACCCUCUUCUAUGUGAUGGUAGUUUAGAUGAUCGAUAUCGACUUUGUAAUGUGACGACAAACUCGGCUAAUAUGAUGAACUUUGCUAAUGUCUCGAGACCUAAAGUUUGUGUUUGACAAGAAAAAGGAAAGACCGCGCUCAUACAAAAACAAUAGAGGGUUUCGUACAAGCGUCUCCCUUGACCCAAGGGUACAAAGUGUUGCGGGCGUGCCAGUGUACAAAGUACACAAAUAUACGAAGAGGAAAAGAAAAUGUGAGGCCUGCUGGCGCGGCCAAGGGAUCAAGCGAUCAUGGUCUCCUGGUUCCCGAGGGCCUCGGAAAGUCCCCCGGUUAAUUACUCCCGCGGAUAGCACCGCGGGACACCUCCGAUUAAGCUGCGCAGUCGUCGUUCUUUGGUCUUCGCUUCGCGUUGCUCAUGCAUGGUGGUGGUGUGUGUAUGGCGGCGGCAGAGUCCGUGUACGGAGUGGUACACGUGCCGUCGAAAACGUGGCCUUUGCUUCGCCCACGCCCGCCUAUGCCGUCUUGCCUCGUCGGCCUUGAGCGGCAUCGAUGUGGUUGUUGAAGUAGCAUGCAUGGUUGGGCUUGGCUUGGACGUCGUCGAUGACGUUGUAGAUUCGGCGGGAGUGCGAGGGGUAUGCCCCGCGGGAGUAGAUCUUGAAAGGAAAAGAAGGAAUGGAUGGACGUGCGACACAUGGAGUGCGCACACCUAUCGAUGACCGCCUACACCGCCGCCAAAUAGCGGAGGAAGUCGCCACCUGGUGUCGUUCGACGUGGCCGGCGGCGGUAGAUGGGCCGCCCACCAAUGAGCGUGGCACCGACACGGAGCGCCGACGGUGAUCCCGAGCCCAUCUCCAUGAUGGAUGCGUCCGAACCGGGAGCCCCUAGACAUGAGCGGACCCGGCACGUGUGACACGUGUUCGUAACGAUGAAAAGGGAGGCUGCGAGAUACGCCUAAGCGUGUCCCGACCCCAACCGGACGAUGUCUCUGCCGCCAUAGUUACGACGAGUCAUCGUGACUCGUCGAGCGCUGCGCCGCCUCCAUGGUUACGAUGAGUCAUCGUGACUCGGCAAGCGUCACGCCACCGCCAGCGAGUUGAACGUUCCAUGUCACCGAGUCCCGGCCAGCCCAUGGCGCCUCCAUGGACCGGCGAGGCAGCGGCGAAGGAAACCUCGCGACGCGGCGAAGCCUCGCCCAGGCGCCGCGAAUGGGUGUAGGUAGAAGGGGUGACGCACUAGAUGGCGCUGAGUCGAGAUGCAUGUCGACGAGUCCCGACCAGCCCAUGGCGCCUCCAUGGACCGGUGAGACGGGGCGCGUAAGGCCUAACGAUGCGGCGGUGCCUCGCCCAGGCGUCGCCGAUGGUGUAAGUAGAAGGGGGCGCAGUAGAGUGCGCCGAGUCCCGGCACGAUGGUGUUGCUGGCAGACUCGGCGAUGGAGGGUGUGCGGGAGACCGCGCAUGGUCGACGGCCCCGGUACGCCGUCCUGAUGUGCGGAGAGUGCGCCGGGGGCGCGCGUGGGCGGAAGCCCCGACACGUUGUCGCCGUCUUCGCGGUAGUUGUCGUCUUGCGCGGAGAGCAACCCCGGCGUGUCGUCUUCAAGAGCAUCGAGAGCCAACGUCGGCUGCCGGCUCCAUCUCCGACCGUGCGGCCGCAGCUCCAACCGCCAUCAUCGGGAUGUAGAGAGAAGGGAUAGAAGAGAUUAGUAUCUGUAUUCACCUUGGGAAAAGACGACCGGCAUGAUGUCCGAUCUUCGUCGGCGGCUCGAUGAGCCUUGCCCGGCUGUGUACGGGAGUCUCGGCCGCCUGUGCGAGCACUCCCGUAUGGCGCGUGCGUCGGGAGUAGCCUUGGGCUCCUCUCCCUGAUGGAUCUGCUGGUGGGUAGAUGGAUGGAUGUGUUGCCUGAUGCCGGAGGUGCGUGUUCGUCUCCCUCUGGCCGUCCCUUUCCUCCUGGCCCUGCCCCCUCCUGGGAUGGAUGGAUGUGGUGGUAUUUAUAGAGGGGGUGGAAAGAGCGAGGGCGCUGCACCACCGCCCCGUCGUUCCGAUCUUUGGGUACAAGGGACGUUCUUCUUGGCCGGUACGUACAUGGCGCCAUGUGGCUGCCAGUGGGCCCGCCUCCCCGCUGGGCACCGGAUGCCAGCGCGUAUUUGAGUACGAUACGCCUCCUUACUGGCUGGUACACAGGUAUUUGGGUACGUACACAUACGCGGGCAAUCGAGCGAAUACGUGCAUUUUGCUGCGUACAACCCGGUCAGUACGCUCGAAUGGUCAUACCUGGAUUGAACGCACGUACACGUUCCUUCAUAGCUGCAUGCAGUUUGCGUGUACUAGUACGCCCAUGUCUUUUUCAUGCAUACAUGUGUACCGAUGUACGUGCCCAUACAAUGCAUGGGCCAUGCACGUUCUUGCACUGGUUACUAGUAUUUGCACAUGCACUAAGGUCAUGCACGUAAGUGAUCAUCUAAACGCACACCCGAGGAGAUUGUGUACUUAGAAAAUUCAUUCAUUUCUAAGAAUAUACUUCCUCCGUCCCAUAAUAUAAGAACGUUUUUGACACUAAUGUGAUGUUAAAAACGUUCUUAUAUUUUGGGACAGAGGGAGUAUUUUCUUACUAAACCACGUACAAAAGUACGUCAAACAAAUGCCCCCUGUCGAGUCGAGCUUGAGUGCGGAGCAAGUCGGGCUUGACUCGACGCAUAAGUCUUCUUCGACGGGAAACUGGACGCAACUCAUCCGGCUGCUGCCCGUCAUCAUUUUUUUUGGGUUGGCACUUUGCAUGAAAGCUAGACAUGGAGGUUCUUAUUUCUGCCCUUCACCUAGCAUUAGUGGGCAAAACAUGGAGAAAGCCCACGUGAGCAACAUAGGGCAGCGACCACGGAUGUGUAUGUGUGCAUGCCCAAGUGAUGGCACGCCGUGCGAAGACUCGGCUGUACACCGGGACUUGCCCGCCCACGCCGUAUGUUAGCGCCAGCUUUGCGCCAUGGUGCCAUUGGUGGGAGGCGGGUUAUUUUCAGCAGCCCCAAUGGCCGAGAAAUAGAACAUGGGAUGGGCACCUCUGCACCGUCUUUUUUGUGUAUAUACGCAAUGGGAACCGGCUCGGCAAAUACACUUGGCCGCGGAUCACCGUUCGAUUGGCAGAGAAAACAGAAGCACGAGAGAAAGAAGAAUGGACAAAUAUAUACAGGGGAUACCUUGUUGGGCCACAUUGCUGCUGGCGCCUGACAACAAAGUAAACUCGGAUCUUCUUCAGUGCACGGCGAAACGCCAUGCCGCGUGCUGAAGGUUUUAUCAGACAAAUCGGAACCGUUUAGCUGCACGGUGCCACCCGACAAGAGGGAAGGGUUUCACAGCUACGCACUGGCUGUUCUGGCCAAUGCUGAAGCCAAGAAUGGUUGAGGUACCUUGUUGUGUCGUAUUGCUGCCACGACGCCUGUCAACAAAGCUUUCUCGCAUCAUCCUCAGCUCGCGGUGAAACACCAUGCCACAUGCUGAAGGUAUUAUCAGACAAGUCGGGACCGUUUAGCUGCACGGUGCCAGCCCGACAAGACUGAAGGGUUACUUCACGCUAGCCGCACUGGCGCGCUACACUGUUCCCACAUUUAAGCUCAGCGUGGACAUGCGGACGGGACAUCGGGAUGUCAUCGAUGUCUCACCCUAUCGCCGAGUGUAGCGACGACAACAUUGUGCACGCCAGCUGUUGUCGCCGAAGAUGUUUGAGGGCAUAGCGUUGCCCCCGGUGUUGUUGUUGUAGAGUCGCCGUAAUACCGACGACUGAGGGGCGUGGCCGCCUACAAUGUCAGCAGCCUGACUCGUGGAUUGGUGUUGCCGUUGUUGACGAUGACUACGGCUUGCGGUGUUGAAGACGACGUCAUCAGGGACGACCCCGUCGACGCCAAUGAUCGAGGCCCUAGCGUCGCCCCCGGUGUUGUUGUUGUUGUAGAAGCAACGUAGUGCUAACACUGAGGGACGACGCCACCCUCGAUGUUAGCGACGUUGGUUGAAGUAGCUUGGUUGCCAACAUCUGGGAGACAUGGCUUGGCGCCAUGUGAGGAGGCCGUUUGGCAAUGGGGAACUCGGCCCCUGGCCCUCCCGCCAUGGGCGUUGUAGAGGUUGUCGGUGAAGCGGACGUUUGAAGGACGGUGAUGCCCCUCGGCGCUCGUAGUGGUGUCGAGCCAAAGGUGCAUCGCUAGCACACAUAUAUGUGGGCAUCGUCUCUCAUCCGCAUAGAAACUUAGUCGCUUCUGCACAAAGUUAGAGGAACCAAGUGACUGGAAAGACCAAAUGAAAACCAACUCACGAAGAGGAAGUGAGAAAAAGAAAAAAAAAUAGCGUUUUUUUUGUUUAAAAUGUUGGAUUUUCCACUUGACACUAGCUAUGAGUGUGACGUCGGAAAAGGCUGCCGAAGGACUUAGUCAUCAGGAAUCGUCGAAAAGCCAUGACGAUCGCAACUCAAUAGCUUAUUGCCUUCUGUGUUUGUUUGUGUGUGAAUAUGUGUGUAUCACGAUGACGUGAUUGGAAUGCUUCCGAGAGGCAGCAGGGAAUCGUACCCUAGCCCAUCAUGGCAAAGAGUAACCCCACAGCUCCACCAUUCUCCCUUCCGGGCCUCAAGAACUCAGAAACUUGGGUAAGGUGUAUUUAGGGUAUGUGGUUUUGGGACAGCGGCUGAAAAACGUAUGUUCAUGCCUUUUGUUGAGGGGUGGUGGAUGACUACCUCCUGCCUUCUUUCCAGUGGUUCCCUUAUUGCUUGCACGUCGGGACUUGCUUCAGGAAUCUUGAGGUUUGCUUCAUGGACGGCCUUGGUGGCCGCGAGCUUUUGAGGAUCGUCUCCCCUUGGAGAGAAUAGCUUCAUGGGCGCCCUUGGUGGCCGCGAACUUUAGAGGAUCGUCUCCCCUUGGAGAGAAUAGCGUCAUGGAUGACCUUGGUGGCCGCGAACUUCUGGGGAUCGUCUCCCCUUGGAAGGAUUGCUUCAUUGACGGCCUUGGUGGCCGUGGGCUUCAGAAGAUUGUUUCAUCUUUCGAGGCGCGUUUGCACGCGCUUGAAGGUUUGCUUCAUAUUUCUUCAGGGACCACCUUGAGAACUUGGAAGACAGUCAUCCACCUAUGUGGACUAAAACCCUCAGGCAUUUUAUCUGGAGCUUUGUUGGCACGCCCCAGGGUUGUCAAGCGGUUACGCACCUAACCCAACUUGUGUUAGAUCGGGCAGCCCUUUCCUGAUCUUUUGCCUAGAGUCUUCCCUGGAGCAUGUGGAGUCUCUAGGAACCUGAGACACAUCCAGUAGCAUGGGGGUGUGGGGCUUCAUUGUUUAGAAGCAACCCAAGUAGUCUUCUCCGCUGCCUCUGGGAGCAUAUGGUGUGUGUGUGUGUCGUGUUUUGUGGGUAUGAGAGCCGCUCCACUAGAUAAGUCCCAAGGCAGCCAAAUCGUCCGUCACAGCUGAGUGUGGUUCGGAAAAAGCCAUGUUUUUUUAGGAUUUUGCAAUCCAUAAGAAGGGGAAAACAGAAGAAACACGAGCAAGUCCGCUUCAUGCAAUAGUGAGUGCAAUGCGGACUCUGAUAAGCCACCGAAAACUCCCCUUCUUAAAAAGCGAAAGAAGAUGGAAACAAGCCAAGAGAGAAAAAAAAAGAGAAAAGAAAGGUUUUUUUUACGCAAAGUAUUUUUUUCAAAAACCUACCGUUGAUCUGUGGCAUCGGCCGGGCUCCUUGCGAAUCAACCAGCUGACACGCACCUCCGAGGACAUGUGUCAUGGCAUGCCGGUAGGCGGCACCGGCGUUCUUCAACCCGAAAGGCAUCAUGUUGUGGUAGAAGUUGCCUUUCGAUGUUUUGAACGCGGUGUUGAUGGAGUUCAUUGUUGGCUCGAUGUAGUUGGGAACAACACCACAACUCUCAACGUCUGAUGAUUGAGAGGAGCUAGGUUCCUGGAUUUCUCCCGUCUCCUUCACUGGCGCCUGCCCCCACCGCAGGGGCCGGAAUGGCACCAAAGCGGGGACUGUCCUCCCCUGUCGAGGGAAUGACUCAUCCCCCUCUGACUUGGGGACGAACCUUGGCAGAGGGUGGUGUUGGCUUGGAUGGCUUGGAUCAGCCCACCGUCGAGUUGGCGGCUGUACUUUCGUCGAAGAUGCUCUGCGAGGAGCUCGCGGAGGCAAUCCCCUCGCAUGCGGACGAUGACGGAUCGUGUUCGAAGGUUGCUCCUUGCGAGUGGCAAGGGCAACCUCCCGAGAAAUGAGAGGUGUCGUGGUGGUGGAGGGAACAAGGUCGGAUAGCCGAUGCUCCACCUAAGAGAUCGGAACCCGUGAUGGCUCGCCUGCUUGGCCUUGUCCCGACGAGGUCAAUGAUUCCACGCUCACCAUGUCCACGGUCUGGUAGUCUGGAUUGAUGGCUUCUGGGUCUUGGGUGACCCUUUUCUCAUUAAUGGCUCGUUGGAGCCAUUCCUUGAAGGCGAUGCGAUCCUCAAUUGCGUGGCCUACGUACCUGUGAUAUGGGCAAUACAAAGGAUUGUCAUCCAUAUUUACCUGGUCGGGUCUUUGAGGUUCGGGUAGAUUCAGGGCCCGAUGCUCCAUUAGUUUGUCGAACAUAUCUUUCAGCACCUCGCGGCGAAAGAUGUACGACUUGUUGAGAAGAUCCUGCAUGGCCGCACAUCGCCUUCCCCCAGCUUGCUCGGUCCGUGCACCCAAGAUGGGCACGGUACUUCGUGGUGCUGAGGUGAGCACCCUGGUGGCGUUCGCCUCUGCCGCCACAUUUGUCUUGCCCCCACUGUUAGGGAGCUUACACGUUGAGGCAAAGCACUUGGCAGGGUCAACGGCGCUUGCGUUCUUGUAGAGCUCCAUGAUCUAUGGAGACUUGUCGAACUCCAGCUUGGUGGCUGCAACAGCUGAGCAGAGCGCUAAAGUUUCUUGGCUCACGCCGAGAAACCUCAAGCGAUCAGUGCUGCUGCAUGCCAUGGACACACAUUUCAAUGGCAUCCUCGAGAUGCAUCUCCCUGGCGAGACGCACGUAGCUGUUGCGGAAGCGAAUGAUGUAGUCAUUGAUGGACUCCUCUCGCCGCUGCCGAACUUGUGCUAGUUCGACAACAGAGAAAUCUUUCUUCAUGGCGACGAAGUGCCUCUUGAAGACUUCCUUCAUGCCUGCCUAGCUGCUGAUGGAGCCCACCGGUAAGCGACUAUACCAGUGGAAGGCGGAGCCCGUCAAUGACCCCGAGAAUUGCCAAAGUAGAAGCGAAGAGGUAUUAGCGGUGUCACCGCCAGCCGCCUCGAAGUACGCUAGAUGCUCCCGUGCAUCCCCAGUCCCGUCAAACUGGCCGAACUUCGGCGGAUGCCAACCAGCAGGGAACAACACUAGGUCGUGACAUGCUUCGUCGGGCUUCUCGAGCUCGCUUUCCAAGGUGCGGGGUGCUUGCUCAAUUGACAUCUGCUUGAGCUUCUUCGUCACCAUGUCUUUGACGAUGUCGUGGCAGUUCUUUAGCAUGAUCGGGUGUGAUGCCCCAUCGGCCACACCGGUCGGCGUCACCAAUGGUCGCCCCCGUACGCCUGGGUCUUGCUGUUGAUGCUCACCAUUGGGCGGCGCACUUGCUAGCGCCAUGGCUUGAAGCUCCUCUUCUUGCGGGUCCACCACUCGCCUUGGUGUCCCCGGCGCCCCGAGGUUGUUGUUCAUGAUGAGCUCGAUAAACCGAUCAACUUUUGCGGUUAGUUGAUCGAUUGUACGGCCCUGCUCGCGCACCUGAUCGGCAAGGUUCGCUUCGAGCGGUGCUCCAUUUCCUGCAAGACGGGAUGGGUUAGCGUUGGAGGCUCUCAAUGCCUCCAUCUCUGCUGCUUUCGCCGCCUCCUGGUCGGCGUCACCAUCGGUGGCCACAUGUACGGGCGUCGUGUGAAGAUCUUCAAAGCCGCCUUCAUAGUGGGAUAGAACAGACUGAGCGAGCUCAUGGUAGGGCUGUUGGAAAUAUGCCCUAGAGGCAAUAAUAAAUAGGUUAUUAUUAUAUUUCCUUGUUCAUGAUAAUCGUUUAUUAUCCAUGCUAGAAUUGUAUUGAUAGGAAACUCAAAUACAUGUGUGGAUACAUAGACAACACCAUGUCCCUAGUAAGCCUCUAGUUGACUAGCUCGUUGAUCAAUAGAUGGUUAUGGUUUCCUGACCAUGGACAUUGGAUGUCGUUGAUAACGGGAUCACAUCAUUAGGAGAAUGAUGUGAUGGACGAGACCCAAUCCUAAGCCUAGCACAAGAUCGUGUAGUUCGUUUGCUCAGAGCUUUUCUAAUGUCAAGUAUCAUUUCCUUAGACCAUGAGAUUGUGCAACUCCCGGAUACCGUAGGAAUGCUUUGGGUGUACCAAACGUCACAACGUAACUGGGUGGCUAUAAAGGUGCACUACAGGUAUCUCCGAAAGUGUCUGUUGGGUUGGCACGAAUCAAGACUGGGAUUUGUCACUCCGUGUAAACGGAGAGGUAUCUCUGGCCCCACUCGGUAGGACAUCAUCAUUAUGUGCACAAUGUGACCAAGGAGUUGAUCACGGGAUGAUGUGAGUUAUGGAACGAGUAAAGAGACUUGCCGGUAACGAGAUUGAACAAGGUAUCGGGAUACCGACGAUCGAAUCUCGGGCAAGUAACAUACCGAUAGACAAAGGGAAUUGUAUACGGGAUUGAUUGAAUCCCCGACAUCGUGGUUCAUCCGAUGAGAUCAUCGUGGAACAUGUGGGAGCCAACAUGGGUAUCCAGAUCCCGCUGUUGGUUAUUGACCAGAGAACGUCUCGGUCAUGUCUGCAUGGUUCCCGAACCCGUAGGGUCUACACACUUAAGGUUCGAUGACGCUAGGGUUAUAGGGAAAAGAUAUACGUGGUUACCGAAUGUUGUUCGGAGUCCCGGAUGAGAUCCCGGACGUCACGAGGAGUUCCGGAAUGGUCCGGAGGUAAAGAUUUAUAUAUGGGAAGUCCUGUUUUGGUCACCGAAAAAGUUUCGGGUGAUAUCGGUAAUGUACCGGGACCACCGGGAGGGUCCCGGGGGUCCACCAAGUGGGGCCACCAGCCCCAGGAGGCUGCAUGGGCCAAGUGUGGGAGGGGACCAGCCCAGGUGGGCUGGUGCGCCCCCCCCCCACCAAGGCCCAAGGCGCAUGGGAGAGUGGGAGGGGGCAAACCCUAGGUCCAGAUGGGCCUUAGGGCCCAUCUAGUGGGGCGCCCCCCCUCUCCUCCCCUUGGCCGCCCCCCUUGAUGGGAUCUAGGGCUGGCCGCCAGCCCUUGGGGUGGAAACCCUAGAGGGGGCGCAGCCCCUCCCCCCCCUAUAUAUAGUUGAGGUUUGGGGCUGCCCAACACACGAGAACGUCUCUCUUUCGGCGCAGCCCUACCCCUCUCCCUCCUCCUCCUCUCCCGCGGUGCUUGGCGAAGCCCUGCGGGAUUGCCACGCUCCUCCAUCACCACCACGCCGUCGUGCUGCUGCUGGAUGGAGUCUUCCCCAACCUCUCCCUCUCUCCUUGCUGGAUCAAGGCGUGGGAGACGUCACCGGGCUGCACGUGUGUUGAACGCGGAGGCACCGUUCUUCGGUGCUUAGAUCGGAAUCAACCGCGAUCUGAAUCACUACGAGUACGACUCCUUCAUCUGCGUUCUUGCAACGCUUCCGCAUCGCGAUCUACAAUGGUAUGUAGAUGCACUCCCCUUCCCCUCGUUGCUAGAUUACUCCAUAGAUUGAUCUUGGUGAUGCGUAGAAAAUUUUGAAUUUCUGCUACGUUCCCCAACAGUGGCAUCAUGAGCUAGGUCUAUGCGUAGUUUCUAUGCACGAGUAGAACACAAAGUAGUUGUGGGCGCAGAUGUUGCCAAUUCUUCUUGCCGCUACUAGUCUUAUCUUGUUUCGGCGGCAUUGUGGGAUGAAGCGGCCAGGACCGACCUUACACGUACGCUUACGUGAGACAGGUUCCACCGACUGACAUGCACCAGUUGCAUAAGGUGGCUAGCGGGUGUCUGUCACUCCCACUUUAGUCGGAACGGAUUCGAUGAAAAGGGUCCUUAUGAAGGGUAAAUAGAAAUUGGCAUAUCACGUUGUGGUCUUACGUAGGUAAGAAACGUUCUUGCUAGAAACCUCUACAAGCCACGUAAAAACUUGCAACAACAAUUAGAGGACGUCUAACUUGUUUUUGCAGCAUGUGCUAUGUGAUGUGAUAUGGCCAGAAGAUGUGAUGAAUGAUAUAUGUGAUGUAUGAGAUUGAUCAUAUUCUUGUAAUAGGAAUCACGACUUCCAUGUCGAUGAGUAUGACAACCGGCAGGAGCCAUAGGAGUUGUCUUUAUUUUUUGUAUGACCUGCGUGUCAUUGAAUAACGCCAUGUAAAUUACUUUACUUUGUUGCUAAGCGCGUUAGCCAUAGAAGUAGAAGUAAUCGUUGGUGUGACAACUUCAUGAAGACACAAUGAUGGAGAUCAUGAUGAUGGAGAUCAUGGUGUCAUGCCGGUGACAAAGAUGAUCAUGGUGCCCCGAAGAUGGAGAUCAAAGGAGCAAGAUGAUAUUGGCCAUAUCAUGUCACUAUUUGAUUGCAUGUGAUGUUUAUCAUGUUAUGCAUCUUAUUUUCUUAGAACGACGGUAGCAUAAAUAAGAUGAUCCCUCACUAAAAUUUCAAGAGACGUGUUUCCCCUAACUGUGCACCGUUGCGAAGGUUCGUUGUUUCGAAGCACCACGUGAUGAUUGGGUGUGAUAGAUUCUAACGUUCGAAUACAACGGGUGUUGACGAGCCUAGCAUGUACAGACAUGGCCUCGGAACACAUGCGAAACACUUAGGUUGACUUGACGAGCCUAGCAUGUACAGACAUGGCCUCGGAACACAAGAGACCGAAAGGUCGAACAUGAGUCGUAUAGUAGAUACGAUCAACAUGGAGAUGUUCACCGAUGAUGACUAGUCCGUCUCACAUGAUGAUCGGACACGGCCUAGUUUGACUCGGAUCAUGUAUCACUUAGAUGACUAGAGGGAUGUCUAUCUGAGUGGGAGUUCAUUCAAUAAUCAGAUGAACUUCAUUAUCAUGAACAUAGUCAAAAGGUCUUUGCAAAUUAUGUCAUACCCUUUAGUUCUACUGUUUAAGAUAUGUUCCUAGAGAAAAUUUAGUUGAAAGUUGGUAGUAGCAAUUAUGCGGGCUGGGUCCGUAAACUGAGGAUUGUCCUCAUUGCUGCACAGAAGGCUUAUGUCCUUAAUGCACCGCUCGGUGUGCUGGCCUCAGCGUCGUCUGUAGAUGUUACGAAACAUCUGACAUACACGUUUUGAUGACUACGUGAUAGUUCAGUGCGUAAUGCUAACGGUUUAGAAUUGUGGCACCAAAGACGUUUUGAAACGUCGCAGAACAUGUGAGAUGUUCCGAAGACUGAAAUUGGGAUUUCGGACUAGUGUCCACGUCAAGAGGUAUGAGACCUCUGACAAGUUUCUUAAGCCUGCAAACUAAGGGAGAAAAGCUCAAUCGUUGAGCAUGUGCUCAGAUUGUCUGAGUACUACAAUCACUUGAAUCGAGUGGGAGUUAAUCUUCUAGAUGAACUAUAACAUAUCAAGGAUGGACAUGAUGAUCCUUGAGAAACUCGCGAUGUUUGACACCGCGAAAGUAGAAAUCAAGAAGGAGCAUCAAUUGUUGAUGGUUAGUAAAACCAUUAGUUUCUAGAAGGGCAAGGGCAAAAGGGAUACUUCAACAACAAAUCGUUUGCUGCUGUAGUGAAGAAUCCCAAGGUUGAACCCAAACCCGAGACUAAGUGCUUCUGUAAUGAGGGGAACGGUCAAUGAACAGUACUACCCUAGAUACUUGGUAGAUGAGAAGGCAGGCAAGGUCGACAAAAGUAUAUUGGAUAUACGUUAUAUGAAUGUGUACUUUACUAGUACUCCUGGCAGGACCAGGGUAUUAGAUACCGGUUCGGUUGCUAAGUGUUAGUAACUCGAAAUAAAAGCUGCGGAAUAAACUGAGACUGGCUAAAGGUGAGAUGACGAUGUGCGUUGGAAGUGUUUCCAAGGUUGAUGUGAUCAAGCAUCGCAUGCUCCCUCUACUAUCGAGAUUUGGUAUUUGCGUUGAACAUGAUUGGAUUAUGUUUAUCGCAAUACGGUUAUUCAUUUAAGGAGAAUAAUGGUUACUCUGUUUAUUUGAAUAAUACAUUCAAUGGUCUUGCACCUAAAAUGAAUCUCAAUCGCAGUGAUACACAUGUUCGUGCCAAAAGAUAUAAAAUAGAAAUGAUAGUACCACAUACUUGUGACACUGCAAUUAGAGUCAUAUUGGUAUAGAACGCAUGAAGAAGCUCCAUGUAGAUGGAUCUUUGGACUCAGUCGUUUUUGAAAAGAUUGAGACAUGCGAACCAUGUCUAUUGGUAUAUAUGCAUGAAGAAACUCCAUGCAGAUGGAUCGUUUGGACUCACUUGAUUUUGAAUCACUUGAGACAUGCAAAUCAUACCACAUGGGCAAGAUGACUGAAAGGCCUCAUUUUCAGUAAGAUGGAACAAGAGAGCAACUUAUUGGAAGUAAUACAUUUUGAUGUAUGCAGUCCAAUGAGUGCUGAGGCAUGCAGUGGAUAUCGUUAUGUUCUUACUUCACAGAUGAUUUGAGUAGAUGCUGAGUGUAUUUACUUGAUGAAACACAAGUCUGGAUUAUUGAAAGGUUCAAGUAAUUUUAGAGUGAAGUUGAAGAUCGUCGUGACAAGAGGAUAAAAUGUCCGUGAUAUGAUCAUAGAGAUGAGUAUCUGAGUUACGAGUUUGGCACACAAUUAAGACAUUGUGGAAAGUGUUUCACAAUUAAUACCGCCUGGAAUACCAUAGCGUGAUGGUGUGUCCGAACAUCAUAACUGCACCCUAUUGGAUAUGGUGCAUACCAUGAUGUCUCUUAUCGAAUUACCACUAUCGUUUAUGGGUUAGGCAUUAGAGACAACCGCAUUCACUUUAAAAGGGGCACCACGCAAUUCCGUUGAGACGACACCGUUUAGAGAAACCUAAGUUGUCGUUUCUUAAAAGUUUGGGGCUGCGAAGCUGAUGUGAAAAAGUUUCAGGCUGAUAAGCUCGAACCCAAAGCGGACAAAUGCAUCUUCAUAGAAUACCCAAAAGAGUUGGGUAUACCUCCUAUUUCAGAACUGGAAGCAAAAGUAAUUGCUUCUAGGAACGGGUCCUUUCUCGAGGAAAAGUUUCUCUCGAAAGAAUUGAGUGGGAGGAUGGUGGAGACUUGAUAAGGUUAUUGAACCGCCACUUCGACUAGUGUAUAGCAGGGCACAAGAAGUUGUUUCCUGUGGCACCUACACCAAUUGAAGUGGAAGCUUAUGAUAGUGAUCAUGAAACUUCGGAUUAAGUCACUACCAAACCUCGUAGGACGGCGAGGAUGCGUGCUACUUUAGAGUGGUACGUGAUCCUGUCUUGAAAGUCAUAUUGUUAGACAACAAUGAACCUACGAGCUAUGGAGAAGCGAUGGUGGGCCCAUAUUCCGACAAAUGGUUAGAAGCCAUGAAAUCCGAGAUAAAUGGAUCUUUAAGAAGAAGACGGACGUUGACGGUAAUGUUACCGUCUAUGAAGCUCGACUUGUGGCUAAGAGUAUUUCCACAAGUUCAAGGAGUUGACUACGAUGAGAUUUUUCUCAUCCGUAGCGAUGCUUAAGUCCGUCGGAAUCAUGUUAGCAUUAGCUGCAUUUAUGAAAUCUGGCAGAUGGAUGUCAAAACAAGUUUCCUUACCAGUUUUCGUAAGGAAAGGUUGUAUGUGAUACAAUCAGAUGGGUUUUGUCGAUCCUAAGGAUGCUAAAAGGUAUGCUAGCUCCAGCGAUCCUUCCAAGGACUAGAGCAAGCAUCUCGGAGUCAGAAUAUAUGCUUUGAUGGAGUGAUCAAAGUUUUUGGGUUUAUACAAAGUUUGUUAGAAACUUGUAUUUACAAUAAAGUGAGUGGGAGCGCUACAACAUUUCUGAUAAGUAUAUGUGAAUGACAUAUUGUUGAUCCGAAAUGAUGUAAAAUUUCUGGAAAGCAUAAAGGGUUGUUUGAAAGGAGUUUUUCAAAGGAAAACCUGGAUAAAGCUGCUUACAUAUUGGGCAUCAAGAUCUAUAGAGAUAGAUCAAGACGCCUGAUGAUACUUUCAAAGAACGCACACCUUGACAUGAUUUUGAAAGAGUUCAAAAUAGAUCAGCAAAGAAGGAGUUCUUGGCUGUGUUACAAGGUGUGAGUAUUGAGUAAGACUCAAGACCUGACCACAGCAGAAGAGAGAGAAAGGACGAAGGUCGUCCCCUAUGCUUCAGACGUAGGUUCUACAGUAUGCUAUGCUGUGUACCGCACAUGAAGUGUGCCUUGCCAUAAGUUGGUCAAGGGGUACAAUAGUGAUCCGGGAAUGGAUCACAUGAUAGCGGUCGAACUUAUCCUUAGUAUCUAGUGGACUAAGGAAUUUUCUCGAUUAUGGAGGUGAAAAGGAGUUCGUCGUAAAGGGUUACGUCGAUGCGAACUUUGACACUAAUCCGGAUGGCUCUGAGUAGUAAACCGGAUUCGUAUAGUAGAGCAGUUAUUUGAAAUGGCUCGAAGUAGCGCGUGGUAGCAUCCGCAAGAUGACAUAGAUAUUCGUAAAGCACACACGGAUCUGAAAGGUUCAGACCCAUUGACUAAUAACCUCUCUCACAAGCAUAACAUGAUCAAACCAGAACUCAUUGAGUGUUAAUCACAUAGUGAUGUGAACUAGAUUGUUGACUCUAGUGAACUCUUUGGAUGUUGGUCACAUGGUUAUGUGACCUAUGAGUGUUAAUCACAUGGUGAUGUGAACUAGAUUAUUGACUCUAGUGCAAGUGGGAGGCUGUUGGAAAUAUGCCCUAGAGGCAAUAAUAAAUAGGUUAUUAUUAUAUUUCCUUGUUCAUGAUAAUCGUUUAUUAUCCAUGCUAGAAUUGUAUUGAUAGGAAACUCAAAUACAUGUGUGGAUACAUAGACAACACCAUGUCCCUAGUAAGCCUCUAGUUGACUAGCUCGUUGAUCAAUAGAUGGUUAUGGUUUCCUGACCAUGGACAUUGGAUGUCGUUGAUAACGGGAUCACAUCAUUAGGAGAAUGAUGUGAUGGACGAGACCCAAUCCUAAGCCUAGCACAAGAUCGUGUAGUUCGUUUGCUCAGAGCUUUUCUAAUGUCAAGUAUCAUUUCCUUAGACCAUGAGAUUGUGCAACUCCCGGAUACCGUAGGAAUGCUUUGGGUGUACCAAACGUCACAACGUAACUGGGUGGCUAUAAAGGUGCACUACAGGUAUCUCCGAAAGUGUCUGUUGGGUUGGCACGAAUCAAGACUGGGAUUUGUCACUCCAUGUAAACGGAGAGGUAUCUCUGGGCCCACUCGGUAGGACAUCAUCAUUAUGUGCACAAUGUGACCAAGGAGUUGAUCACGCGAUGAUGUGAGUUACGGAACGAGUAAAGAGACUUGCCGGUAACGAGAUUGAACAAGGUAUCGGGAUACCGACGAUCGAAUCUCGGGCAAGUAACAUACCGAUAGACAAAGGGAAUUGUAUACGGGAUUGAUUGAAUCCCCGAUAUCGUGGUUCAUCCGAUGAGAUCAUCGUGGAACAUGUGGGAGCCAACAUGGGUAUCCAGAUCCCGCUGUUGGUUAUUGACCGGAGAACGUCUCGGUCAUGUCUGCAUGGUUCCCGAACCCGUAGGGUCUACACACUUAAGGUUCGAUGACGCUAGGGUUAUAGGGAAAAGAUAUACGUGGUUACCGAAUGUUGGUCGGAGUCCCGGAUGAGAUCCCGGACAUCACGAGGAGUUCCGGAAUGGUCCGGAGGUAAAGAUUUAUAUAUGGGAAGUCCUGUUUUGGUCACCGGAAAAGUUUCGGGUGAUAUCGGUAAUGUACCGGGACCACCGGGAGGGUCCCGUGGGUCCACCAAGUGGGGCCACCAGCCCCAGGAGGCUGCGUGGGCCAAGUGUGGGAGGGGACCAGCCCCAGGUGGGCUGGUGCGCCCCCCCCACCAANNNNNNNNNNNNNNNNNNNNNNNNNNNNNNNNNNNNNNNNNNNNNNNNNNNNNNNNNNNNNNNNNNNNNNNNNNNNNNNNNNNNNNNNNNNNNNNNNNNNNNNNNNNNNNNNNNNNNNNNNNNNNNNNNNNNNNNNNNNNNNNNNNNNNNNNNNNNNNNNNNNNNNNNNNNNNNNNNNNNNNNNNNNNNNNNNNNNNNNNNNNNNNNNNNNNNNNNNNNNNNNNNNNNNNNNNNNNNNNNNNNNNNNNNNNNNNNNNNNNNNNNNNNNNNNNNNNNNNNNNNNNNNNNNNNNNNNNNNNNNNNNNNNNNNNNNNNNNNNNNNNNNNNNNNNNNNNNNACACGAGAACGUCUCUCUUUCGGCGCAGCCCUACCCCUCUCCCUCCUCCUCCUCUCCCGCGGUGCUUGGCGAAGCCCUGCGGGAUUGCCACGCUCCUCCAUCACCACCACGCCGUCGUGCUGCUGCUGGAUGGAGUCUUCCCCAACCUCUCCCUCUCUCCUUGCUGGAUCAAGGCGUGGGAGACGUCACCGGGCUGCACGUGUGUUGCACGCGGAGGCACCGUUCUUCGGUGCUUAGAUCGGAAUCAACCGCGAUCUGAAUCGCUACGAGUACGACUCCUUCAUCCGCUUUCUUGCAAUGCUUCCGCAUCGCGAUCUACAAUGGUAUGUAGAUGCACUCACCUUCCCCUCGUUGCUAGAUUACUCCAUAGAUUGAUCUUGGUGAUGCGUAGAAAAUUUUGAAUUUCUGCUACGUUCCCCAACAAGGGCGGGGCGCUUGAGUGCAUUUCCAAUGAAGGCGAGGAGGAUGUGUCGGAGGAGCUCUCCUCGCCGUCGUGGUCCUCCGGCGGCUCGCCGUCGUCGUCAUUCCCACGCGUCACGCUUUCGCGUUCCAUGGACUUUAGUCGCGUGUUGGCCCCGGGCCGACUUGCAACUUGGUGUAGUUCCUCCGGAUCUUCGGGAAGGUGCGUCGUGAUGUCGGUGUAGUGGCGCGGGGAUAUGUCCGGGUGAUGUGCGACAUCACCAUCGGACGUCGAUCCUCCCUCCGCUGUGAUGGGAAGACAUGGGGCAGUUGAACUUGCACCUUUUUCAGAGGUGGAUUAGCUCGAUUCGGGCUUCGUCUCGACGCCUUUGAACCAUGAUCGAACAUGUCCUAGGCGUGGAAGUAAUGUCGCACGGAAAUUGGCCCUUGGAUUUGGCACAAUCUCCUCGUCGGAUGGGUAGGAGAAAUCAUGGGUGAUGUGCGGCGGUUGCCACGCGCCAUCUUCUUCAAGCCUAGUACGCACUCCUAGAGUGCCGCAUGAGGCCAUGUUCUUCUCGUCGCCCUUCUUGGCUCCCGCCCCCUGCAGUGCGGUAGGCCUAGCCCCUUGGUCCCCUUGGUCGGGGGUACCGAGGGUAGGCACCUAGGCGAUCGUUGCAUCGAGAUGGAGAGAAGCAUUAGACUGCAACUCAAGAGACCCUACCUGGAGGGUUGAGGUUUCCUUGAGUGCGGCACUGGCCUGCAACUCAGACGCAUCCUCGACUCCCUCCAUAGGAGAGGCAGAUUCGAGGGUGCCCCAUGAUGUUGGGGCGUAGGAGUUGGAGAAGCAUUCACCUGGCUCUCCCACUUGAGGAUGGUUAGGGGGCGAAGCGGUGGAACGGCCCCGCCUCCUUGCUCCGCGCACUAGAUUCUGCCCUUCGUGGCUUCGGGGUUAAGCGGCUGAGAAGGUAGUUAUACCUCUCAUGCCGCUCCAAGUCGGGCGAGAUGCAAAAUGAGAUUUGAUUGUUCUCCUGAACAACCUCGCCAUCAGCCCGAACACGGACUUUAGUGUGUCGCAGCACAAGCUCCUCGAGCUCUGUGAGAGCACCGUGUGCCCUUAGUGAGAUCGGAGGUGUAGGAAGAAGGGGCGGCGCACCCUGCCGAGCCGCCGAUGCCGUAGAUGUUGGCCCCAUGAUAGGGGGAGCCACGUUGUUCCUUGGUGGUCGCACCUGCACUUGGUCCGCCUGCCUGGGAGGAGAUGGGACCCGUAUAGGGGCCGAAGCCCUAGGAGGGCUCCGCGCUCGCCCUUGUGUUGCUUGGUCGCGGCCCGAGGAAUCGCCUCAGUGCCACGGCCACCUAUUUCCGCGCAGCGGAACUGCUUUAGCCCCCCGCAAGACGGCUGGUGUUGGAGAAGUCCGUCGACGGGGCGCCAAAGUUUAGCGCUCGUGUUGGAGGCGAUGAUUCUGGGGUAGUCGCCGGGUCCUACUUGCCUCCUGUGCGGAUGACCCCGCAUGAUCUUCAUGACCUUCAAGCCGCCUUUGAAGGUGGCCCAUCUGGUCUUGGUGUUGGCAGAGCUCUUGCCGCAAAUCCUCUUCAUGAGGUGUAGGCGCCUCGUUUCGAAGAACAGAGUACUUGUUGUUGGGGAAGGACCGCCCAUCGCCUGCCGACAUGUGAGCGGCCGACAUGUGUAGGCAUGGCGCCCACAUGCUCGGCGGGCAGACAGAGCGGUUGUCGAGGUCAAAGGCGGUUGUGCGGCCUGGUAGCACGGGCUGCUUGCGGGAUCGUCGCUUCCAGAACUCCCGCAUGAUCGCCCGCCUUACCUGCUCCUUGACCUUCGAUGGCUCGUUCGCCCAUUGGUCGGGGAACAAGUCGUACGGAGGGGUCAAGGUGCUAGGGAAGGUGAACACCUUGUGUGCAAGCUCCAACGCGCCCAUCGACCAGUCCUCUUCGGGGACCGAGUUCUGAGCUAUGCAUGAGCUGAUUUAUCGGUGGAGCUUUUGUACCUUCUAGUACUUCCUCCUGUUGUUGCGUAGUCGAUGGGAGCUAUAUGACAAAGGAUCGUUUGCCAUAAGAAUCCGAAGCUCGAAGUAGACGGCCUCGAGAGCCUCCAGUAGCUCGACCUCCGUGCGCCGACUGGUCGUUGUAGGCAGCUUCGGCUCAGCACUCGGCAUCGGUGCACGGACCGAAGCAUCGCCAACCCACCUGCUGGUGGCCUGGACACGUAGCUUUUCGGCAACCUCAAUGUCGCCCUUCAUCUCCGCGAUCAUGGAGUCCUUCAAGAGGGUGCGCGCCUCGAGCAUGAGCUCACGGCGCGCCUUCUUGGCCUUGGCGACGGCCCCUUUUGAGCCUUCUUCGACUCCAUAGCCUGGAAUUGAGACGGCUCAUGCGCCUCAUGCACAUGCACCUUUGCGCCAUGCUUGAAGCUGACCAUCGGCGGGAGUGACCCAAACUGGAUCACUUCCGGCACAAAGUCAUCGUUGGCGCCAGAAACACCACCUCCAGGAAGAUGGGUAUCAAUCAGCGGAGUUCCACGCUGACGAUCCUCAUGCAGCAUGCUGCGAAGUUGGAGGAAUGAGCAAAGACGAAGCCGCGACAACGGCGCAGCAGAGAUGGGAGGAGAACCACUCCCACCGGGCGUGCCAAUUUGUUUGACACGAAAAAGGAAAGACUGCGCUCAUACAAAAAGAAUAGAGGGUUUUGUAUAAGCGUCUCCCGUGACCUAAGGGUACAAAGUGUUGCGGGCGUGCCAGUGUACAAAGUACACAAAUAUAAAAAGAGGAAAAGAAAAAGUGAGGUCUACUGGCGCGGCCAAGGGAUCAAGCGAUCAUGGUCUCCUGGUUCCCAAGGGCCUCGGAAAGCCCCCGGUUAAUUACUCCCGCAGAUAGCACCGCAGGACACCUCCGAUUAAGCUGCGCAGUCAUCGUUCUUCGGUCUUCGCUUCGCGUUCCACAUGCAUGGUGGUGGUUUGUGUAUGGCGGCGGCAGAGUCCGUGUACGGAGUGGUACACGCGCCGUCGAAAACGUGGCCGUUGCUCCGGCCACGCCCGCCUACGCAGUCUUGCCUCGUCGGCCUUGAGCGGCGUCGAUGUGGUUGCUGAAGUAGCAUGGAUGGUUGGGCUUGGCUUGGACGUCGUCCAUGACGUUGUAGAUUCGGCGGGAGUGCGAGGGCUAUGCCCCGCGGGAGUAGAUCUUGAACGGAAAAGAAGGAAUGGAUGGACGUGCAACACAUGGAGUGCGCACACCCGUCGAUGACCGCCUACACCGCCGCCAAAUAGCGGAGGAAGUCGCCACCUGGUGCCGUUCGAUGUGGCCGGCAGUGGUAGAUGGGCCGCACGCCAAUGAGCGUGGCACCGACACGGAGUGCCGACGGUGACGCUGAGCCCAUCUCCAUGAUGGAUGCGUCCGAACCGGGAGCCGCUAGACUAGACAUGAGCGGACCCGGCACGUGUGACACGUGUUCGUGCCGACGAAGAGGGAGGCUGCCAGAUACGCCUAAGAGUGUCCCGACCCCAAGCGGACGAUGUCUCCGCCGCCAUAGUUACGACGAGUCAUCGUGACUCGUCGAGCGCCGCGCCGCCUCCAUGGUUACGAUGAGUCAUCGUGACUCGGCAAACGUCACGCCACCGCCAGCGCGUUGAACAUUCCAUGUCGCCGAGUCCCGGCCAGCCCAUGGCGCCUCCAUGGACCGGCGAGGCAGCGGCGAAGGAAACCUGGCGACGCGGCGAAGCCUCGCCCAGGCGCCGCGAAUGGGUGUAGGUAGAAGGGGUGGCGCACUAGAUGGCGCCGAGUCGAGAUGCAUGUCGACGAGUCCCGGCCAGCCCAUGGCGCCUCCAUGGACCGGUGAGACGGGGCGCAUAAGGCCUCGCGAUGCGGCGGUGCCUCGCCCAGGCGUCGCCGAUGGUGUAAGUAGAAGGGGGCGCACUAGAGUGCGCCGAGUCGAACGAUGUGUGCCUCCGAGUCCCGGCACGAUGGUGUUGCUGGCAGACUCGGCGAUGGAGGGUGCGCGGGAGACCGCGCAUGGUCGACGGCCCCGGUACGUCGUCCUCAUGUGCGGAGAGUGCGCCGGGGGCGCGCGUGGGCGGCAGCCCCGACACGUUGUCGCCAUCUUCGCCGUAGUUGUCGUCUUACGCCGAGAGUGCGUCGAGGGCGCCCACCCCCGGCAUGUCGUCGCUGAUGGUGUGUCCGGCAUGGAAGGACCGCCGGGGGCUGCACACGGAGGGCAACACCGGCGCGUCGUCGCCGGUGGUGAGUCCGGCAUGAAGGGGUCGCCGGGGGCUGCACAUGAAAGACAACCCCGACAUGUUGUCGCCAGUGAUGAGUCUGACGUGAGGGGGUCACCGGGGGCUGCACGCGAAAGGCAACCCCGACGCGUUAUCGCCAGUCAUGAGUCCGGCAUGAAGUGUUCGCGGGGGGUUGCACAUGAAGGGCAGCCCGGCGCGUCGUCGCUGGUAGUGAGUCCGGCGUGAUGGGAUCGCCGGGGGCUGCACAUGAAGGGCAACCCCGGCGUGUCGUCUUCAAGAGCAUCGAGAGCCAACGUCGGCUGCCGGCUCCAUCUCCGACCGUGCGGCCGCAGCUCCAACCGCCAUCAUCGGGAUGUAGAGAGAAGGGAUAAAAGAGAUUAGUAUAUGUACUCACCUUGGGAAAAGACGACCGGCAUGAUGUCGAUCUUCGUCGGCGGCUCGAUGAGCCUUGCCCGGCUGUGUACGGGAGUCUCGGCCGCCUGUGCGAGCACUCCCGUAUGGCGCGUGCGUCGGGAGUAGCCUUGGGCUCCUGUCCCUGUUGGAUCUGCUGGUGGGUAGAUGGAUGGAUGUGUUGCCUGAUGCCGGAGGUGCGUGUUCGUCUCCCUCUGGCCGUCCCUUCCCUCCUGGCCCUGCCCCCUCCUGGGAUGGAUGGAUGUGGUGGUAUUUAUAGAGGGGGUGGAAAGAGCGAGGCCGCUGCACCACCGCCCCGUCGUUCCGAUCUUUGGGUACAAGGGACGUUCUUCUUGGCCGGUACGUACAUGGCGCCAUGUGGCUGCCAGUGGGCCCGCCUCCCCGCUGGGCACCGGAUGCCAGCGCGUAUUUGAGUACGAUACGCCUCCUUACUGGCUGGUACACAGGUAUUUGGGUACGUACACAUACGCGGGCAAUCGAGCGAAUACGUGCAUUUUGCUGCGUACAACCCGGUCAGUACGCUCGAAUGGUCAUACCUGGAUUGAACGCACGUACACGUUCCUUCAUAGCUGCAUGCAGUUUUUGCGUACUAGUACGCCCAUGUCUUUUUCAUGAGUUAAUUGCACAGAAGUAUCACAAUUGGGGCAUCACAUGCAGAUUGGUACCACGAUUGCUAAUUUUUACGUGUCAGUACGAGCAUUGCUUCAGACUUUUGCAAAAAGGUCUAAACCGCGUAUAAACACGUAUUGACGGUGCAUCUGACUGGCGGGGGCCACCUGUCAGGCGCCGACGUGGCAAUUUUUUUACAGAAAACCCCCUAAACUCUCGUCCCCGUGCGCGUCGGCAUCCUUCCCGAAGACUAGGUUGUGGAGGAGCUCGUCGCGUGAGAUGCCGGACUGAGCCUUGUCGGUGUCGUUGAGAACGACGGCGGCAGCUUCGGCGAAGUAGGCUGUCAGGUCGGCGUAGUCCCACUCCCUCGUCGCGCCCCCUACUUCGCUCGAUGGUCGUCGUCCCAGAUGUCCUCUGUACGGCGUUUGGGCCAAUCUCGCAGGGGGCGGCCGGGGGCUCUCGUCCGCCGCCGCCGGCCGCAGCUCCUGGCUGGCAAUCCAGGCACGGUCGUCGCCCAAGGAGCCCCGUCUCUCCCUUCCCUGAGAGCCGGCUGCCACUCCGGCGCCGGCGGCCACCGUCCCCGUCGGUCGCCACUCCGGGGCCGACGUCCACCUCCUUCCUCGGGUGCCCUUCUUCCCCAGGCGCCCCCCUUCCCCCUCUGCCGCCGUGAUGGUCUCGCGGGUCUCCCUCUCUGGGUUGUCGCCCUCUCGCUCCGCACCCGCCUCGCCGCCCUCCGUCGCCGCUCGCCGCUGCUGUUGCCUCUCCUCCCCGUCCCCUUCCGGAGCGGCGCGGUGGCUGUGCGCAUGGCUUCGUCGGACGCGGGGGCGGCGCCUCAGCUCGGCUCCACCAUGGAGGUGCCCAGCGCGGCGGGGCCCGUGCGGGUCGUGGCGGCGGCGGGCCUCCCCGAGGCGGACUUCAGGAAGGCGCUGGAGUCGGCGCUGUUCAGGCGGUGGCUGGAGAGCCUGCAGGCGGAGAGGGGCCUGCUCGCCCGCAGGAAGCUCAGCCUCCGCCAGAUCCUCAUCCAGGGGCUCCCCUCUUUCUCCCGCAUCGAAAUGUUUGAGCUCUAAUAACGAUUUCGUCGGGGGAUUAGUGGAUGGAUGGCACAUCUGAAUUUGAUGCGUGCAGGGGGUGGACAUGUUCGGGCAGCGCCGCCGCGGAGAGGGCGAACCGGAGGGUGGCAUGGCGGCGGGGCGUGGGAGGCGCGGGGACGAGGAGGCGGGCGGCGUGGACGCGCACGGGGACGAGAGUUUAGGGGGUUUUCUGUUAAAAAAAUGCCACAUCGGCGCCUGACAGGUGGCCCCCGCCAGUCAGAUACGCCGUCAAUACGUGUUUAUACACGGUUUAGACCUUUUUGCAAAAGUCUGAAGCAAUGCUGGUACUGACACGUAAAAAUUAGCAAUCGUGGUACCAUGUGCAUGGGAUGCCCCAAUUGUGGUACUUCUGUGCAAUUAACUCCUUUUUCAUGCAUACGUGUGUACCGAUGUACGUGCCCAUCCAAUGCAUGGGCCAUGCACGUUCUUGCACUGGUUACUAGUAUUUGCACAUGCACUAAGGUCAUGCACGUAAGUGAUCAUCUAAACGCACACCCGAGGAGAUUGCGUACUUAGAAAAUUCAUUCAUUUCUAAGAAUAUAUUUUCUUGCUAAACCACGUACAAAAGUACGUCAAACACUUUGCUAAUGUUUGAACUUUGUUCGCUAUUUUGAAUUUGGAGACUAAUAUGAUGAACUCUAUUGUGUUAUGUUUAUAUUCUGUGCUGUAACGUAUUUCGUAACCUGUGCAAAUACCAGAAAAGCAAAAAAUUAUAAUUCCUAAUAUUCAUAGUAGUGGCGCACCAUAUUGAGAAUUAGUGGCCGCACCAAGAUAAAUACCAGUGGCGCAUUAUCGGGCAUAGUAAUGGCACACUUGGGGCAUAGGUGAAGGCAAAUAUGGCCCCCAGUAGUGGCGCACCAUAUUGAGCAUUAGUGGCGCACCAAGGCUAAAUACCAGUGGCACAUUAUGGGGCAUAGUAAUGGCGCACUUGGGGGCAUACGUGGAGGUAAAUAUGGCCCCCUAGGAGGCAUAGUAAUGGCGCACUGUUGGACAUAGUAAUGGCGCACUAUGUGGUGCGCCAAUAUUAUCUGGGAUACUAAUGGCGCACCAGAGGUGUGUCAUUACUAUUUGUUACUAGUGGCGUGUUAAUAGUGGCGCACCUAUAGUGCGUCAUUAAUAGCAAAAACUGGUGCGCCACUAACAGCCUUUUUUCUAGUAGUGAUGUGUCAUAUGCACAGGCAUUAUGUGUAAAGUAAGCAGAUACAAUUCAACAAAGUUAGAAACAAUACAAGCUAGACAUCAUACGCAACAUGCAACCAUAUAUAAUAGUGCCAAAUUAAAGCAAGCACCUGUGAUGGUGGAGUAGGGGAGAUGUGCUCAUCAUCUACACAGCUACGUUGACUGUCUAGCCUUGCGUUGUCUUGCGAAUCUUGUUGGGAGGAUGGCGGAGUAGAAUCUGUAGAGAACCUCCGUUUCAGUUGCUCGGAAGGACCACCAUCAUCCAAUGCCUUGCCAAUUUCCUUCAGCUUUAUUGAUUUUGCAUUGUGAGGUCAAACCGACAAGAAAAAGGAAUAUAAUUUGCUCUUCAGAACUCAUUCAUGCAUGAUAAUGACGAACACUACUCUGAUGAAAGGCAAAGUCAUGAUACGAGGAUGGAAUAUGUACGAAAACAUGGACUGCUUGACAUAUUCUCACCUAUGAUGUGGUAACUAAGCAGAAGGUACUUCAACAAAUUAGAAGCACUGCAAACUAGACACCAUAUGAAAGGUGCAAUCAAUAUCACUCUGCCAAGUUAAAACUGUCUCGUCAUAGGUGGCGUUCAUCAAACUAGAAGCAAUACAUGCCAGAAAUCAUAUUCAAGACGCAAACCAAUAUCACACUAUCAACUUAAAGGUGUUCCAUCAUAAGUGACUGAUGCAAGAUACACAAGAAGAGUAGUUUCAUCUGAGAACAUGAUGUGAUAGACAGAUAUAGUAUGUACCAAAAACAGGAAAGCGUGUCAUAUUCACACGUAUCAUGUGUAAGCUAAGCAGAUGCAGUUUACACUAAUUAGGAGCAAUACAAGCUAGACACCAUAUGCAACAUGCAACAAAAUAUCACACUGUCAAGUUAGAGCAAGCACCUUGGAUGGUGGAGUAGGGGAGCGAAGACUUGGACCUUGUAAUGCACUAUCAGUACAAGGAGUAUCGGUACAGAUGCUCCGUUUACGUUGCUGCAGAGGACCACCAUCAUCGCCUUCCUUACUCUCUUCCUUCCUCUUUCUUGACUUUGCCUUGUCAAGUCAAACCCACAAGAAAAAGGAAUAAAAUUUGCUCUUCAGAACUCAUUGAUGCAUGAUACCGACGAACAGUACUUUCAUGUAAGGCAGCCGCAUGAUAGGAGGAUGGAAUAUGUAUGAAAAACAGGACGGCGUAACAUAUUGACAUGUAUGAUGUAUAAAGUGUAAACUAAGCACAAGGUGAUUGAACUUGUUAGAAUCAAUGCAGGCUAGAAACCAUAUGAAAGAUGAAACCAAUAUUACUCUGCCAAAUUAAAAGGGUGCCCUGACAAAUGUAUUUGACCAAAUUAGAAGCAAUACAUGGCAACAGGCUAGAAAUAAUAUGCAAUAUGCAACGAAUAAAGGUGACUCGUCGUAAGUGAUUGAUGCAGGAUACAGAAGAGAGGUAGUUUCAUGUAAGAACAAGGUUAACACAUAGAUGUAGUGUGUACCAGAAAUAGGAAGGCAUGUCAUAUUCACAUGUAUAAUGUGUAAACUAAGCAGAUGCAAUUUAUCCUAAUUAGAAGCAUUACAAGCUAGACACCGUAUGCAACAUGCAACCACAUAUCACACUUCGAAGUUAAAGCAAGCACCUGUAAUGGUGAUUUGGGGGAAUUGCGGUCAUCAACUAGAGAGCUACGUUGACUAUCUUCAUUUAGUCUUGCUGUUUCUUGAGAAUCAUGUGGGGAGAAUGACGCUGCAGUCUUGAAAUGAGUAUGGCGUCUCAUAGUAACCCACUCGGGUGACUGUCUCAUCAUAAGUGAUUGACAAGGGAUACAAAAGAGCAUUAGUUUGAUGUACGGACAUGGUUAAUAGACAUAUGUAGUAUGUAUCAAAAACAGGAAGGCAUGUCAUUAUCAAAGGUAUAAUGCGUAAAGUAAGCAGAUGCAAUUUAACCAAAUUGGAAGCAAUACAAGCUAGACACCAUACGCAAUAUGCAACCACAUUUGACAGCGGGAAGUUAAAGCAAGCACCUAGGAUGGUUGUGUGUGGCAAUUGAGAUCAUCAACUGCAGAGCUACGUUUACUGUCCCCAACUGCUGACACUGCAUCCUUUAGAGCGCUGAAAAGCUUAGUGCUUAUCUUCAAAUUACACUGGAGCGACUUCUGUCUUUUCUUUUCAGCAUUCAUCAACACUGCGUCAGAGUGUGAAAUAUCCAUGCAUAAAAAAAUAAUAGUGUGAGUAUGGGUGAAGUGUGUGCACAAUUAGUACAGUGUAAAGGUAGCAGAUAGCAGGUCGGUGAGAAAUAAAUGAUGGAAGACAUAUGAUAGCUCUACAACAUGCAUGGCACACUAAAUUACUACAGGAUUCUAUGAAAAUAAAAUUUGAAUGAAAACAAAUAGGCCAGUCCAUUUUUUCUACACCGUUCGAUGUACAAAGAACGGGCGGAUCGCCUUCAUCUACCUCCAGCCAGUCAGUGUUGACGAUCUUCCUCGAAACGGCAGCGACCACCGGCCCAGUCCCCUGCCCGCGCCCUCCCCUCGACCUCACCACACCGCCGUGCUUGGCACUGCCCCCCGGCCAUCCAUUCAAGCCCCGCCGACGUCCAGAUCGGGCGCAAGUAGCUCCUGCGCCCCACACCUCUAUGAUAGACACCGAUGCGCCGCUUCCCCAAUGAACAGGCAGACUAGGUGCUACGCACGCCUAAGCGGGUGCUGCUUCUUUUAAUUGCGGUUUGACUGACCCUGAAUUGAAAUCCAGGCGGGCUACUGACCUCUAGCAAAGGUGAAAUAGUAAAGGGAGGAAACCUUGUGCAUUUAGUAUCACGGAGAAGAUGCAGUAAGAAGCGCUCAACUAGUUUCUUUCGUGGGAUGAAUACGGUGUGAGCAGAGACGUAAGGUUUGCACGAAUAAGGGAAGAGGAGUACCUCUUUCUGCUGGCAGUGUCGUGUCCUCCUGUUUUUCCAACGAUCUUCUUGUGGUUCGCUGGAAACGAGAAGUUGUGGAGGACGGUGCAGCCUUUGGACGAACCCAUGGCCAAGUUGUUGAGUGUGGUGCGGUGGCCAUCUGUCGGCGGCAGGGAAGCAGAUCCGAGGCGGCGAAUGACGGCGUAGCGGGAACAACUCCAGUUCGGUGGACGGUUGCGACAGUGGAGCGGCAGCAGUGGGGCGCAGGACGGCGUGGUCGGAGUAGUUCUGGUACGGCGCACAUCGGCGUCGGCAUCAUGGAGGCAGCUCUACCUCGGCUUCAACUGCUAAGUCCUUGAGGGCGUUGCGGUUGCGGUUGCAUUGGACGACGACGUCGGGGUACCGGCUCCGGCGUGAUGGAGGAGGGCGGCGGUGUAUUGGGCGCUCUGGGGUGGACCACGGAGGAGGCUGGGGUUUCGCGGCUGGUGGAGAGGGCGUUUUGGCGCCCAUGGAGUAUGAAUGGGGAAACGGAGGGAGGCAGGGAACUAAGGGGGAAUAAUGUUUCGGUUUGGGACGCGCUUGUUUGAAAUUUGGGGAAAGUUACAAACUUUGCCCCCAUCUAAAAUUUCGGACAUAUUACGGGUUGGGGGUAGGACAGUAAUCUCAGGUGUCCCAAAUGUGGGCGGGAUAGAUUUCGGCCGAGCGCAUGGGUGUUUAGGCGCCCACGGCGUAUGAAUGCCUCUCAGAGGCGGUUGAGACUGGCGUCUUGGUGAAGCUACAAACCUACCAAGGUUUAGACCUUUGGACAUCGGGCCAAUAGGCUACAGGGGCCAGAGUCAGGACAGUAAUUUCCUACCACCAAACAUUAGUCUCGCGCGGUUUCGGGUGACCAGAGGCCUAUUUGGCGCUUCGUUCAAUAUUUGGGAGCAGAAGCAUUAACGUUUUCGGUUAUCUUGAAUUGAACAUUCAGGAUUUGUCAAACUUCGCAAAUCUUUACUCUUGAAAAUCCUAAAGCAACGAUUAUUUUUGAAUGGUGGUGGUACAUUUGAAUAUACAUUGUACACGAGUAUAUAUUAAAAAAUAUGCAACUUACCUCAGUUCAUGCAUGCUUCCAGAUAUAAUCUCCUUGGUUGCAAAAAAGAAGUUAGACAUGCGUAUGAAUAUAUAUAGCAUGUUCAAACGCACAACAAAGAUUGAUGCCCCCUUUUACAUCUGAUUUAAAAAUGCCAUUAUCUCGGGUUCAAAGAGAUGAAUGCACUAUCUAUGAAUUCGAAUCUUCGAAACCCCCUUUAUGUUGAAUUCGACAUGUAUUCUAUUUCAUAGCUAGCAGUUUGGAAUGUAUCCAUGCAAGUGACAAAUGUAUAAAGUGCUUCACACUAACAAUAUGGAGUGCACUAAUUAAUGUUUAUAUAUGAAUUGCAAAAGCAUCCAUUGCCUGUAUUUCAAACCUCUCUCACUCUAUUGAUCGAUAAUAUGAAAUAAAUACAUGCACAUGCUAGAAUUCAAUAGAGUAUGGGUGUCUGAUAGACCGAUUUUCGUCCAUACGCAAUUUGCAAAAUUCAUGAUCUCAUCCAAAAAUAAUAAUGCCAUUUAUAUUUUAAUUUAAUGCGUAGAAGCGCCUUUUACACGUAGAUGCACUAUUCCUCGGCCCGUUCUCACAAACGCGCUAUAUCUCUCUCUAUCUACCGUAUAAGUGCACACACUUUAUAUGCAUCGGCAUUUCUCUUUCACACAUGCUCACAAUCUCUCUUGGGGUGUCGGGGAGUCUCACGCACAUGCUCUCUCUGUAUCUCUCUCUCUUUCUGACUACUAUGUACCACUCUCUUCACUAAUCUCAGUUGGAAAACACUAUUUCUCUCACAUGCAUAUAUACACACGCACGGUCUCUACUAGCCCUCUAUACGCACAUAUAUGUGCCUACGUGUCUCCCGCACGCACAUUAUCUUUAGACCUCUCUCGCACACAUUGCCCGCCCAGACACACCUCUCUCUUAAUAGUUGGCAGAUAUGAUUUCAUCAUAUCAUUCGGUAGGAUAUCCCUGACUGUUAGGCUGGAUGGUAAUACGAGGCAAAGUUUUACCCUAGUUCGGACCCUUGCAGCUGAGGAAAAAGCCUACUCCUAGUACUGUAUAUUAGUGAUAGGGGUGUGUACAAAGUACAUGUGAAUACGAGGCAUUGUGCGUGUGUAUAUACUAUCGACGAACUAGCCCCCAAGCUUCUAUAACAUACUGGGGGCCUACGGUUACAAAUCAUAUAUAGUCGGCUUAUCACCAGUGGGGAUAGAUUCCUCCGCGACUCUGGUAGCUAGCUUCGUGUUGUACACCGAGUCCUCCACAUGGGUCUUCGUAUAACGCGUCUCGAUCCAACCUAUGUGGCGUAGGAUGGAACCGACCCAUGAGUCCUCAUGUUGACCCAGCACAACUAGAAAUGAUGUGCCCACCACACCACACACGCAAUCGGCCACUAAGAAAGUAAGCAUAUACAAUAGUACAAUGUUAUACAUGAAAGUUAAUUGCAUGGUGCAUCCAAAAAUAUUUUUCUGCAUUGUGAGUGUUUAUAUAUUCUCCUAAAAUAUUAGUCACGUGAAAGAGAAACGAAGGGCAUAUCUCUCCUUGUCUCCACCGGACAUCCCCUCUUUAUACACCACUUUCACAUAUGCACACAAACUAUCUCUCGGCCCUCUAAAAGUAUGCAUGCCCACGACACAUUCACGCAUGACGGUCACUGUAUUUCAAGCUAAAGCACUAUACGGUCACUGGAGUUCAGAAUAUGCUCAUUACGGUCACCGUAUACAUUCUUGUGGUGAUCAUACGGUAUCUAGCUCACGAUACGUCUUCGUAUUUUCUUGAUGACACUGACGGACUUUGCAUUUGAUGCGUGCUCCGUAUUUUGUUGACGACACUUACGGUCAUUGUAUUUGAAGCGAAAGCACGAUAUAGUCACUAGACUUCAGAAUAAGCUCAUCAUGGUCACCACAUACAUUUUGUCGUGCUAACCAACAUGUGGUUGGAUGGUUAGGAGGACAGUGGUUUCUCGAGCCCACCAGGGUUAAAGUUCCGGUGCUCACAUUUAUGCUGGGUUAAUUUCAGUAUUUUCCGGUGAUGUGCGUUCAGUGGGAGGAGACGUUCCACUCGACUACGAGGCACCUAAGGUGACUUCGUAAAAUGUCAAGAUCAUAUGCUGGCUCACUCUCUCGAAGGUGCUCAUAGGGGUAGGGUCUGCGUGUGUGCGCUUAUAGCGGUGAGUGCUUGCGCGUAUAUAUGAGCCCUUGCGUCUGUACCGUGUUAAAAAAUACAUGUCAUGAUUAUACGGUCACUGGCUCACCCGUACAACUCUGUACUUUGUUGAUGACACAAUUAAUUGACCAGUCAAACGUUCCACGUGGCGCAACUAGUGUUGCACCGUCGGGGCGCGUAACCGUGGGGCCCACCUGUCAGCCCGUAUAUGAAAGAAAGAAAUGGUAGUUUGAGUCUGUACUAUGUUAAUAAAAUACAUUUUAGGGUGAUCAUACGGUCACUGGCCCACCAUACAGCUCCGUAAUUUGUUGAUGACACCAUCAAUUGGCCGGUCAAACGGUCCACAUUCGACAGCGCACAUUACCAUAGGGCCCACCCGUCAGCGCGUAUAUGAAGGACAGAAAUGGUAAUAAAUUAGUGGUCGGUGGGUACUCGAAGUUGUGAGACCUCUGGUUGGCAAUCGCCGGCGGUGGGGGCGCGUUGAUUGGGCGAUGGGGUGGGGAUCGCCGGAGAAAAAGCUCGGCGCGGGGGGGCCUAGAGGGAUGGCCGGUGCGGCGGCGGACCGACGGUGGGGAGUGGUUUUGGGGCGGGCGGGGUGGUGUCGCAGCGCGGGCCGGCCGCGGGCGGCGGGUGCCGGCGGUUUGGCCGGUGGUGGCUGGCGGCUCAGGGGGGUGGAGUUUGAUGAUAAACUACAGUCCCUUUAUUUCAUAUCCAACGGCUGGAAAAUCCAAUGACCAGAGAUGAAAAAGUCAGUCGACUGACGUGUAGCCUCACCCCGCACGUACACAUGCACGCAUGCAAGACACGCAUGCAUGCAGGCGUGCAACACUGACACGUACACAUAACGAACGCACGCACGCAUGCAGGCGUGCAACACUGACACGUACACAUGCACUCACGAACACACGCACGUACGCACACAUGCAUGCAACACUGAAAUGUACCCUUGCACGCACGCAACACUCGCACGCCUGCAUGCACACAACACACGACGCAAGACACACGCUCAACCUAUACGUGCAUGCACCCUUUGUUAAGGACAUGGAUUGUUACGGGUAUUAAUCAAUCUUAUCUGUGAUAAGCAGAACAUUGAUGUUUGCGGCGGUCUUUAUGAAUCACAACGUAUCGAACGGGCUAUAAACAUAGUAGGCUUAUCUACAUGAAAAGGAUGACGUCACACUCAAUGAACAAUCACCGGUUUAUGAAAUGCCCGCUUCUGACCGCCCUGGCCCACAAAAGGUUCCUCUGCUAUGCGCUGCCUGCGUUGGGUCACUGACAUGCAGGCCAUGUACCCAAAGAGCCCACACGUCAGUGGAAGAACGGCGCGGUGUCCUACGUAAGAGUCGAGGGCGCAACUCGCUGCACGCCCGACUGAACAUGCCUCCUUGCCGCAUUCAAACGCCUCCAUGAAACCCGCCCGUGUGGAAGCCGAGAAAUCCACUCUGGACACACGUCCGUUCAUGACCGGAUCGGCAUUAAACGCAACGCCGGCCAAGCUCCUCCCGUCCGCCGUCUAUUUAAUCUCCUAUUUAAAUGAGGCCAAACGCCGGCCAAGAAUCGCACACCUCCGCCGCUCCCCUAUCUCCUCCUUCACCAUUUUGUCCACUCUUACAGUGGCUUACGAAGAGUAGUUAUUCCGCACAAGCCAUUUGUCUAGGUUUGUAUCUCUCACACACACCCACGUAGGUGGGGGACGUGCACGAAGAGAAGAGGUGCACGCACGGCGCACAUACUCCCGUCUCUUUCCCAACCACACCCGCGCGGGUACACGGUGGAGCUCAUUUCUGUACGAAAAUGCAGCCCACGUGGUAAUUUGACCAUGUAUUGGUUGUCCACUUGGUGGAGGGAGGAUCGUCUACCACGGGUGAACAAACAAAUUGCGACCUGACGCGUUAUGUUAAAAUGAGGCAAACCAUGUGGGGCCUACCUUAGAGGCAAGGCUCUAUACUCUGGAGUACUUUUGAUGUGUCCCGUCAAAUCACAGAACGAGGAGAAGCUUUCUUAGUACACCGUCUCCCUCGCCCACGGGCGCGGUGGCUCGCAGGAUGAGGUGAAGCUUGCUUACUAGUAGUAGUACUGUACGCUUUACGCCCGCUCCGUCGCCCACGCGCGCGGUGGCUCGCAGGACGAGGAGAAAUUUUUACUACUCCCUCCGUUUACUCCUCGUCCCUACUACCUUGGUUAGAGAGAUUAUCAUAUUUUUUGGAAUAUAUAUGUCCUUUAGUACUCACUCCAUUUACUUAUACAAGGCUACUAUAAAAAUAUACAUUUUGCAUCUAUACAAGGCCACAAAUAGUAAUCGAGACAAAAGUUACUACUCCCUCAUUUCCAGUUUAUGGCUCAAUUUCAAAAUCUCUCCAACCAAGGUAGACGGUGAGUGGUCAAAUUAAUUUCGUACUCCUAGUUUGCACAAGUAAUUAGUACACUCGUUUUUAUUAACAAGUUAUGUUUACCGAGGCAUUAAUUAGAACUAAUGCAUGAAUGACCACUAAAUUUCCAUGAACUUCUACAUGCAUUGGUGAGUUUUCUCUUAACACUGCUUGCAUCGGGUGAUCUAAUGCACCUCGAAAUCCAACAUGUGAUGGUACUACUACUAGUAGUACAAUUGAGACAUAUAAAACGGAAAAACGAAUGUUUUUUAGAUGAGCCCUAUAAACCCUAGUGGGUACGUACUCCAUAAAAUAAGAUUUUCCCAAAACUAAGUCGUUCAACCUUUAUUUGCUUGUUUCCCUUCCUGCCUCCUUGCCUCGAACAGACUAUGCCAAACUCCCCUGCCUGCCGCGCGGGAAAAGACCCGCCCUCCCCUUUUUUUUAGUCCGGGUUUGUAUCGAUGGAUCACGCGAAGCAGCAAAAACCCAAGUCGUGUCUUGUACUCCUCCAUCGACGCUAGCUCUCAUGAAUUAUGUACUUCCUGUCGCCGACAUGUGGGACAUAUAGCAACCGGGUCGACGUGUCAAGCACCACAUAACAGUGCAGAACAGCAGGGGGGACACACCCUAGUCGUACCACCCCAGUAGUAGUAAUGAGCAAUGAGACGUCAAAUCACAAUGCCGCACCUUCCCAGACGGACGAAGCAACCAUUAUUUCACACUUCGGUUCGCCAUCAUCUCAAACCACGUAGUAUUGCUUCUGCCUCAAGAGGGACACACGCAUCGCCUUGGUACAUCAUGACACGUGGGACCGCAUGACAGGCCAUGCUCUCCCGCCGAUCACUCGGUAAAAUCACCUCAUUUUUACUACUAUACUUCCUCCGUAUCGGUUUACAUGGCAUGCACGUCGUUCUAGGUUGAGAAUUUAACUGGCUAUAUAUGUGAUGAACAGUAUAUGUUUAGAAACUACAUCCGCUUAAUAAUCCAGUGAUAUACUUUUUGUGACAUAGUAACUAUGAUUUAGUUAGUCAAAUGGAUGACCUAGAACUACGUGCACGCCCUAUAAACCGAGACGUCUAAAAAAACGAGACAGAGAGGGUAGUUCAGUACGUAUCUUUUUAGCUCAAUAUAGUCGGGAUUCACCAAGGAGCAAAACCAAGUGGUAGGCUGCACCUGUCGUGUUGGCGUAGCGACUCAAGCAGGGUCAGUCCGCACACGAAAUGGCGACACACUUAACAGGACCCCUUUGGCCGACAUGUGGCUCAUCCACCGUCUUGUUCCACGUGCGAUGCAUCAAAUUACAGUUCGGAGCAGUGGUUGGAAUUGGAGGCACCCCGGUCGUAGCGCCGCAGUAGUAGAAAAUGAGCGAUGAGGGGUCAAAUCACAAUGCUCCACCUUUCCUGCAUUAAGCUGGACGGACGAAGGAACCAUCAUUUCACUCUAGGGCGCAAGAGCAUAAAGUAAACAGAAAACCAAUGAUGCGUGCGGCAGCUACCUAAGGCACCCUAGGGUAGGGGUCUCCACUACAGAUCAUUUUUUUGAAAGCGCCUCCACUACAAAUCGGCUUCUCCCUCGUCCUCUUGAAGAAAACCGAUGAUGCGUGCGGCGGUAGGGUUUGUAGGAGUACUACUAGGGCGUGUGGGGCCACGUCGUAGUAAACGGGAGAGGGAUUGAGUUCGAGUCGAUGCCUUAAAUAUGUGUGGGUCGCUUGGUUUUAGGGGAACGAGGCAGCAUUUUGGGUUCGGGGACCAGUGGAGAUAUAGUACGUACAAAAAAUUGUGGACGUAGGUUCGACCGAAAGGCAAUGAUGCAUGGGCCCUGCAUUUUGAUAUACCCGGGGCCGCGUGAAAUUUGCUACUCUACUUAAAACUAGUACGGUACACAUGCAUUGAACGCAUGAGAUUUCGAAACCAAAUUAUGAAUAAAUACACACUAUAGCAUGUAAAGCUUUCAGUCAUAUAUGCAUGAUGUAGAUGUUUGUUUGGUUUUUAUAGUUCAUCUCAUUCGAAAUCAAUUAGUUUUAUAAAAAUGUUAUGAUUCACGGGGUUAUGCAUUGUAAAGCAUAAAGUAAAAAAUAAAUAAUGGCAAUUCAUUUAGAAAAAAAUCAAAUAUGAUACGGAAGAUUCUAGAACAAAGGAGAAGUGCAUGUGUUUUGAGGUUUGUGCAUUAUGCUUAAGUUCAACCAUGGAGUCUUCUAAAUUGUACAUGUGGCAGAUCUGGUGGAAUGUUGAUGAUAUCCAACGCCCAGUAGUGCUCGGAUUUGCCAUCUCUGCACUGUCGGAUUAGCUUCAUCCAGCAACCAUCUUUCAAGUUAUUCGCACACUAUAUAGUUCUUGUGCCAUAGUUGCAUGUCUUGGAAAAAAGCUACUAGUGGGUUGUACUAGCUAUUUAAGAAUAGAAGAUGUAUACAUGGAAGUUGUAGGGAAAGAGAUGACAUGGAGUAUCUUAGUUCCUAUGAGUAGGGAUUGGAAAAGAGAUGCCAUUUGGUUGACAUCAUAGGAACUUUUCUAUUGAAUCUAGAGAUGCCAUGUAUCUCAAUUCCUAUGAGGAGGGAUUAGAAAAGAGAUGUAAUUUGGUUCAUAUCAUAGGAACUUUUCUAUUGAAUAUACGCUAAUGUUUAUUUUCCUUUGAAAUUAUGGGAGUAUAGGAUCCAUUCAUAUGAACCAAGUGGCUCUAAAGCUAUAGAAAUGAUAUCAUGUUUAUUUCCUUUCAAAUGUGGAGUAUAUGAAUCUAUUCCUAUGAACCAAUUGGCUCUAAAGGAAAAAGUCCUACAAAAAUCAUAUCAUAUAGAGUUCCUAUGAUAUUCCUCCACACCAAAGGAUGGUUGAAAUUGUUGCAGGUGAUACGAUGGUCUUUCUUUGUAGACUCCUCACCCAUCUUUAUAGUUACCUCUCGAAGAUGAAUGAAAUGAUAUAUACAGGGUAUUCUACAUGUGCAAUUUGGUACACGAAAACUCGGUAAAAGUUUGCGAGGUUCGAAUUUUCAAUAAAGCUAUAUGCAUUGCAUUUUGGAACGGAGGGAGCAUACGGCAGUUGCUAACACUGACGUGGAAGAUUUGUGUGUAGGAGGAGUGGCUGUUCUGUUAAAUGACAUGGCAAAACUGACACUGUCGGAUGCCGAUCUAACGGUUCUUACGGUGUUCGUCAGGAAAAGGCUUGUGGCGAACAUUUGUCAGAUAAUGAUUUACGGACACAUGCAUUGCAUUGAUACGUGCCCCCUCUCUCUCACCCACACGCACCCUCCCGAGUCCUCUCGCACCCACCGUCUAUCUGCAGGUAGACGUCACACAGAUAUGCUCUCUUCACACCCUACCCUCAGAACUUCUAAAAAACAAAAGACGUCACACACAUUUUAUUUUAGCUCACACGUCACACACUUAUACUAUUACUCUUGUGGCGAACGUUCUUUGGGCAUAGUAUAUUGUACUCUCACGAAGAGAAGCAGUGCACGCACGCACUAGUUCUCUCACACCCACUCGCGGGUACACGUAGGAGCGCAUUUUCUGAAGCUGGUACAACAAAAUCACUCCACUAUAUAUAUAAGCAGGAGCCUUAGCGCUUGCUUUACUAGGGUUCCUCUCGUUCACUCUCUCAUGCUCUCCAGAUCUAAGCAAGACAUAGGUGGCCACACUCUCUCUUAGCUCACGGCUGGUCACAAAUCCGGCCGGACAACCUCGACCGGGGCAGGGGUGUAGGUGCAUCGUUCACGCUGUCGUCGGCGGCGAGGGAGGAGACCAACGGCUGCCCGCGUGUCCCUCUUGCUACCUCUUGAGCACUGUGUUGGUUUUCCCUUGAAGAGGAAAGGGUGAUGCAGCAAUGCAGCGUAAGUAUUUCCCUUAGUUUUUGAGAACCAGGGUAUCAAUCCAGUAGGAGGCUACGCGCGAGUCCCUCGUACCUACACAAAACAAAUAACUCCUCGCAACCAACGCGAUAAGGGGUUGUCAAUCCCUUCACGGUCACUUACGAGAGUGAGAUCUGAUAGAUAUGAUGGGAUAAUAUUUUUGGUAUUUUUGUGAUAAAGAUGCAAAGUAAAAUAAAAGCAAAGUAAAAAGCAAAGGAAAUAACUAAGUGUUGGAAGAUUAAUAUGAUGAAGAUAGACCCGGGGCCAUAGUUUUCACUAGUGGCUUCUCUCAAGAGCAUAAGUAUUCUACGGUGGGUGAACAAAUUACUGUUGAGCAAUUGACAGAAUUGAGCAUAGUUAUGAGAAUAUCUAGGUAUGAUCAUGUAUAUAGGCAUCACGUCUGAGACAAGUAUACCGACUCCUGCCUGCAUCUACUACUAUUACUCCACUCAUCGACCGCUAUCCAACAUGCAUCUAGAGUAUUAAGUUCAUGAAAACAGAGUAACGCCUUAAGCAAGAUGACAUGAUGUACAGGGAUAAAUUCAUGCAAUAUGAUAGAAACCCCAUCUUGUUAUCCUCGAUGGCAACAAUACAAUACGUGCCUUGCUGCCGCUACUGUCACUGGGAAAGGACACCGCAAGAUUGAACCCAAAGCUAAGCACUUCUCCCAUUGCAAGAAAGAUCAAUCUAGUAGGCCAAACCAAACUGAUAAUUCGAAGAGACUUGCAAAGAUAACCAAUCAUACAUAAAAGAAUUCAGAGAAGAUUCAAAUAUUGUUCAUAGAUAAUCUUGAUCAUAAACCCACAAUUCAUCGGUCUCAACAAACACACCGCAAAAAGAAGAUUACAUCGAAUAGAUCUCCAUGAGAGAGGGGGAGAACAUUGUAUUGAGAUCCAAAAAGAGAGAAGAAGCCACCUAGCUACUAACUAUGGACCCGAACGUCUGAGGUAAACUACUCACACUUCAUCGGAGAGGCUAUGGUGAUGAUGUAGAAGCCCUCCGUGAUGGAUGCCCCCUCCGGCGGAGCUCCGGAACAGGCCCCAAGAUGGGAUCUCGUGGGUACAAAAGGUUGCGGCGGUGGAAUUAGGUUUUUGGCUCUGUAUCUGAUCGUUUGGGGGUACGUAGGUAUAUAUGGGAGGAAGGCACUACUAGAAAAAGACUUACUAGUGGCGCACCAGUUUUGCCUACUAAUGGCGCACUACUGGUGCGCCACUGGCACCACGCUACUAGUAUUUUUUUACUAAUGGCGCACCAGGCAGUGCGCCAUUAGUAUAGGCCACGGUGCGCCACUAGUAUGCCUCCCAGGGGGCCAUAUAUACCCAUGUGCUUUGCCAUACUAAUGGCGCACUGCGGGGUGAUGCGCCAUUAGUAUCCUUCGGCAUACUAAUGGCGCACUGCUGGGUGAUGCGCCAUUAGUAUCCUCUGGCAUACUAAUGGCGCACUGCGGUGUGAUGCGCCAUUAGUAUCCUUUGGCAUACUAAUGGCGCACGUUGGUGUGAUGCGCCAUUAGUAUGUAUAUUAGGGAUUAUUAUUUUUUUCUUUUCUGAUUUUUGCACAGAUUACAAAAUAUAUUAUUGGACAGAAUAUAAGCAGCACCACACAGCAACAGCAGAUUCAUCGAAUACAAUAGAAGAUUAGUCUCCGAAUACAAUUCAUCAUAUUAGUCUCCGAAUUCAAAAGACCGAACAAAGAUAGAACAUUACAAGUCUCGAGACCGCGAGUAGCGAGUUUGUCUUCACAUUACAAGUCGAUAUCGAUCAUCUAAACUACCAUCACAUAGAAGAGAGCUGCGGUCAUAACGAUGAGCAUCAUCGCGAUGAAACUGGUCUUCAUCCGGCUCCUUCACCGUGCUUCUCCAUGUAGACAGGGCCGUGCUCAUCCUCGUGAGGGCGGCACUAUUCACUUUAUUCCCUAAGAGGCGUGUGUUUGCAAACUCAGCGGGGAACUUGUAUCGUUCGUGCAGCUUCGUGAAGAGGAGGUUGCGCAAAUUCCCUCGGUCCUUAUGCCUUAGGUUCUCGGUGUUGAUCGAGACGGUGCUCCAGAGAAUGCACCCGAGCUGAACUGAGUACCCCUUGACUACAUGUUUGGGCGCCGUUGGAUGCCCGUCGGAGUUCACUUCAGUAAAUUCCUCCUUGACGGUGCCGAGCACGUUCGGGCGCCGGUCCUUCCGUUGCCUCUUCGGUUGGCUGCCAUCUGUGCGUGCGCCGCCAUCAUCAGUGGUGGCAUCCUCGGCGGCACCAUCAGUGGUGUCAUCCCCGACGCCACUAGGGGUUGUGUAGUCAGGAUCGUUGUCUCCCACGGCGUCCUCAUAGCGGUGAGGUUCUUCCUCCAUCUCCUAGGACAGCUCCUAGAAUUGCUUGCCGCCCGAACCGCCGGCCUCAUCGUUGUGGGCCAUGUUUCGCUCUAAAUAGGAAAAAAGUUUGGUCAAAAAGUUGGUUAUUGUCAAGGAACAAGAUCAUGGUCUCAUCAUUUAGGGUUUGUCGACACCGAGGCAUCCUAAAAGCUAAGAUUUUAUCAUUUAGGGUUUGUCGACGCCGAGGCACCCUAAAAGCCUAAGCGUACAUCAUUUAGGUUCUCAUCGACACCGAGGCACCCUAUAGAAGGCUAUGUUGGGUUUAUCAUCUAGGGUUUAUCGAUGCUAAGGAGAAUUCUAAGUUGGGCCUAAUCACUUGGCUCUAUUGCCACCUAUGGUUUAAUGCAGCAAGAAUGGCGGGGCAGUUGAUCCUACUUAACUAAGUACUAAGAUACCCCGGCCCAUGCAUUAGUCGCAAGUACCCCAUAUGUCCUAUUUUUAGCAAAGUCAUGCUAAAAUUCACGGGAAAUUUCAGCAUGACCUUUGCUGAAAAUAGGACAUAUGGAGUACCCAAAUUUGCCGGAACGGAAGUUAAUCGACAUUCCAGCAAACUCAAGGGCCUCUCGGGGUACCUGCAAAUUCAUCACGACACAAUGGUCGGAGACAAAACCCAGCAAACUAGCAAAGUUACUGACGUGUUUACAGAAAUUGUUUUCUGUAAAAGAUGAUCAUCAUCUUUGCAAGUCUUUCUCAAUGUGAUCACAAGUAAUUCAGAGGCAUCACAAUAAAGCAACACCCUGCACUAGCCUAAAAACAAGUGAAGUUUCACCCAUAUAAGAACAACUUUAUAAAAUCAGAGAAGUUGCUAAAUUUUUUGUAUCCUUCAUACACACAGGAGUACAAUGCUUUAUAAUGUUCCAUCAUCAUUACAGAAAUCCAAGAAACACAUGGUCUUGAGGAUAUUCUUUAUGACUGAUUAUUUCAGUUUUACAUGCAGAUUUUGACCAAAAAACACAUGGUCUUUUUAACAGUUUGGACAGAAUACUGAAAACUACAGUUUGGACAGAAUUCCUAAAACUUUGGUCUUCUAGUUACAAAACAAAAGUGACAUAAUUCUAGAUGCCAUAACUGAAUUUUUUUACAGUAGCUCAAGUUUUUGACAGUAGCUCCUCACUGUCUGUCGCCUGCAACACUUUUUAUGCUAGCAGCUCAAGUUUGUGCCAUUGGAGCAAAUAUUUCUCACCUUGGAGGUGUUGCUGCUGCUGCACUGUCUGGACUUCACUUCCUUUACCUCCUCGGAAACCUGAAAUAUGCAGAUGUUAGAAAGGUUCUAAUUUGUAUAUGAUGAUUCUAAGAAAAGGGAAAAGGAGUAUCGAGAACAGAUUCACAUGUCUGGCUAUUAGCCAUUACAAACUUAAAUUUAUCUAUUUCUGUAUCUCACAAACUAUCAUAAAUGAAUAAUAGUAUUAUAGUUCAGCUAUUCCAUGGAAUAAUGGGCUUAAGAUUAAUGAACCAACAGAUGCCCUAAUGGAAGUAAUAACAACAUGACAGCAAACAACCAACAAACAUGAUGGGCAGGCCAAAUACUCAUGUCACUUCCAUUAGGGCAUCAUCUUCCUACAACUACUCAUCUUCAGCAGCACAUGAUACUGCUACUGUAUCUAAUACAACAACAUGACACUUGUUACUGUAGCACAUGAUACUGCUACUGUAUCUACAACUACAACUACUACAACAACAUAAAACUACUAUAAAUCAUCUUCCUACUAUACUUGCUACUCAUCUUUAGAACCAAACAGCAGCAAAAACAGAACCAAACUACUAUCCAUCCAUCUAGCAAGCAACUAGCACAACUCAUCCAUCCAUCCAUCAAGCAUCAUAUACCUAACUAACAUCAACAUACAUACAUCUAUCUAACAUCCAUUAAUCCGUGUAACUAGUAGCAUGAACAAGAGAGGAACAGGGAACAGUGACAUGGACAAGAAGCAUAGAGGCAAGGAAGAGAGGCUCAUCCCAGGCCGUGGUCGAAGGAGAGCAGCCGCUGGCCACGCGCAGGAAAAGACGGCGGGAGGUGGCGGCGAGGGUCACGGCACCGUCCUUGGCUCGCCGGCUGCUGCGGAGGUGACCGGUGGCGGAGGACGGCAGGGGCAGGCGGGGUGUGGGCACGUCGGGGCGGCGCUCGCCGGCUGCUGCAGGGGCCGGAGGAGGCCCUCGCUUGUCGGAGGGAGGAGGAGAGGAGAGGAGCGCUCGGCCGAUCUCAUUCGGGGGGGCGCGGGGGCGGCGGGGGUGGAGUCCCGCGGGGGUCGGGGCGGCGGCGUCGGGGCAGCGCAAGACCACAGCGGCGGCGGCGUCGCCGACGGCGUGCAGGCGCGGCGGACGGAGGGGGCGGAGCAAGGGGGCGGCGACGUACGGUUGGGGUCGAGUGGGGGAUCUGGCGGGGGAGGGAUGGAGGCCACAGUGCGAGGGGAAUAGGUGGAGUGCGGGAUGUCUAUCUAAUGGCGCACCUCCCCCAAGUGCGCCAUAAGUACGACGAUAGCAAUAGCGCACCUCACCCUGGUGCGCCAUUAGAAAUUACUAGCCCGACUGGUUAGGUUAUAUUCCACCUAACCCUAUCUCCAUCAGAACACGCCCACUAGCCCAACUGGUCAGCACGCAGCACACACACUAGGAGGUCCUGGGUUUGAUUCCCAGGCUCCCCAAUUUUUGUUUUUAUGCAUUUAAAAUGCUGUUUGAUAUUUAUUUGUGUUUAAAUAUGUUCAAACUUGUUUAAAUCAUAACAGUAAUAUUUUUUUAUAAAAACAGUAAUAAUUUUUUAAAAAAUAUCAUCNNNNNNNNNNNNNNNNNNNNNNNNNNNNNNNNNNNNNNNNNNNNNNNNNNNNNNNNNNNNNNNNNNNNNNNNNNNNNNNNNNNNNNNNNNNNNNNNNNNNNNNNNNNNNNNNNNNNNNNNNNNNNNNNNNNNNNNNNNNNNNNNNNNNNNNNNNNNNNNNNNNNNNNNNNNNNNNNNNNNNNNNNNNNNNNNNNNNNNNNNNNNNNNNNNNNNNNNNNNNNNNNNNNNNNNNNNNNNNNNNNNNNNNNNNNNNNNNNNCGGGGGGUGCUCGGUGGCGAGGGGGACCGGAUCUGGCGAGGUGGGAUAGCGAUCGAGAUGGAGGGGGAUCGAGAUCGAGUGUCCAUGAAAUUUAAAAACAUUCAUGAGUUCAAAAAGUGCCCAUGAAAUACAAUCGAGAAAUGAAGACUACAAUUUAAAUAUAAUCGAUCUUAGCUAGCUAUCUGUUCAAAAUCUUCUUGCCCUUAUUUUUCAUAAAUGGAGUUCUUCUCUUGAACGGACGUCCUUUAGGUAGGGUGGUCCUGAUUCUUCUUGUGGUGUAUGCUGAUACUUCGUCGUCGUCAUGUUCCAUCUUCGGGUCGUCGUACUUGUCGAAGUCUUGCUCAUUGGCGACUCCAUCCAUUCCUAUGAUCUUCCUUUUGCCUCUCCUCAUGACAACACGACUGGGCUUUGGCGGGUCGGUAAUGAAGAAGCAUUGGUCCACCUGGGAAGCCAGUACCCAUGGCUCAUUUUUCGCGGUGAUGUUCGUGCCUGCGGUCUUGGAUUUGGCUUCGGGUAUAACCAUGGUGGUGAAAUACCGGUCUUCUUUUAUGACGCUCUUGGCCCAUCUGACACGGAACAUCGGGACCUUCUCUCCAGCGUAGCUCAGCUCCCAGAUCUCCUCGAUCCUUCCGUAGUAUCUGUCCUUGUCGUUACCGGUGUAGGAUUCCAUCGUUACCCCGGAGUUUUGAUAACCAUCGCUCUUCAUGUCCUUGUCCUCGGUGUAGAAUGUGUAGCCGUUGAUAUCGUACGCCUCAUACGUCAUCAGGUUGUGCUCGGCGCCCUGUGACAAGGCGAAUAUGAGUUGUUCUUCCGCGGAAGAAUCCUCAUGUAAAGGGUACGACAGAAGCUUCUGCUUGAACCAACGCGUGAAACAUGAGUUGUGCUCUUUGAUUAUAUCACCGUCUGUCCUCUGUUGGCCUCGGUCAUUGUACAUCUUCUCAAUAAACGUUUUGUGCUCUAUCACCCAAGGAUCGACCACGUCUAUGUGUUGUAGUGCGACUAGGUUUGCUCUUUCAAAGUCGGCGAGUCGACCAUCGAAGUCGACAUGCAUUUUGCGGCGACCCUCACGGUGACCCCAUCCAGCGAGCCUGCCGAGGUGCCUGUUGACGGGCAGACCAAUGGGGUUCUCGAUGCCUAGAUAAUUCGUGCAGUAGGAGAUGCAAUCUUCGGUCAGAAAGCCCCUGGCUAUGCUUCCCUCUGGACGUGACAUGUUGCGAACGUAUCCUUUGAUGACACCAUUCAUCCUUUUGAAUGGCAUCAUGCUGUGCAGGAACGUCGGCCCGAGUUGGAUGAUAUCCUCCACGAUAUGGACCAGCAGAUGCACCAUAACGUCGAAGAAUGUGGGCGGGAAGUACAUCUCAAGCUCGCAUAGUAUCACCACGAUCUCUUCCUGUAGCCUUCUGAGUUGCCUCACGCCAACCGACUUCCGAGAGAUGACGUCGAAAAAGUUGCAUAGGCCAAAUAGCGUUUCACGGACGUGCGCGUCCAUGAUCCCACGGGUUGCAACUGGAAGUAUCUGCGUCAUCAGCACGUGACAGUCGUGAGACUUCAUCCCGCUGAACUUCUGCUUCGCUGAGUCUAGGUAUCUGCUUAUCUUCCCCGCGUAACCGUAAGGAAGUUUUACUCCUACGAGGCAGGUGAAAAACUGAUUGAUCUCCUCCUGACUUAGAGUGAAGCACGCGGGAGGGAAGUCAUUUCCGGUCUUCUUCGCCUUUUUGCCUUUGCAACGACUUUCCGUGUCCUGCUUCGCCUCAUCAUCAUCAUCAUCAUUAGAGUGAAGCUCCUCCCUGAUGCCCAUUGAUUUCAAGUCUGCACUUGCUUUCGGCCCAUCUUUGGUCCUCUCUAGCAUGUUGAGCAGGGUACCAAGCAGACUCUCGCACACGUUCUUCGUGAUAUGCAUGACAUCAAGGCUGUGAAGCACACGGUGGAUCUUCCAGUACGGCAAGUCCCAGAAAACAGACCUCGUUUUCCAUACCUUCAGCAGUGGUUCUGGCGCCUUAAGCAUUCGCUUCUUUCUCGUCUCUGGCGCCUUUUGCUUCUUUCCCGACAGUGGGCAAUCUUUCCAAUUUUUCAACAACUCGUCUAUUUCCUCGCCGCUCCUCGUACGCGGGCGUCUUCGGGGUUCGGUUUCACCAUCGAACAGAUCCUUGCGUUUCCUCCAUGGGUCAUCGUCGCGAAGCCACCUUCAAUGUCCCAUGAACACGGUUUUCGAAGACCCGGGAUCUCUAUCUAGCUGGCGAUACAUUGUGUCAUCCAUGCACCUAACGCAUCCACAAAAUCCGUGGACCACCUGCCCCGCGAGAUAUCCGUAACCGAGAUAGUCGUGCACCGUCAUGAGCAGUGCGGCUCUCAUAGGGAAAUAUUCUUUCUCUGCGGCGUCCCACGUAUUGGCUGGCGUUUUCCACAACAUGUCUAGCUCCUCUUUCAGCAGCCCCAGAUAUAUAUUGAUGUCGUUCCCUGGUUGUUUCUGCCCUUCAAUUAGCGUACUCAUGUGAAUGUACUUCCUCUUCAUGCACAACUAGGGGGGAAGGUUGUACAUCCACACAAACACAGGCCAGGUGCUAUGUGUGCUUCUCUGGCUGCCAAACGGAUUGACUCCAUCGGUGCUCGCGCCCAGCACGAUGUUCCUUGGAUCGUUCCCAAAUUCUGGGUGUUCGAAGUUCAACGCUUGCCACUGGCUCCCAUCCUUAGGGUGACUCAGCAUCUUGUCUUUUUUAUUUAUCUCCGGAUCAUUUGCGUCAUCUUCUUGCUUCUUCUCCUCCCUAUCCGCGUGCCAACGCAGGAGCUUUGCUACCUUAGGGUCCACGAAAUACUGCUGCAGACGAGGAGUGAUCGGAAAGUACCACACCACUUUUCGAGGAGCUUUCUUCCUCUUCUUGUAUCGAGUGACGCCGCACACCGGACAUAUGGUAGACUCCGCGUGCUCGUCCCGAUAAAUGAUGCAAUUGUUCAUGCACACAUGGUAUCUCACGUGCGGUAAAUCCAGAGGACACACGAUUUUCUUCGCCUCCUCGAAACUGGUCGGGCACUUGUUCCCCUUGGGAAGACGUUCGUGCCAGAAUGACAUGUUCUCGUCGAAGCAGGCGUCGGUCAUUUUGUGUUUUACCUUCAUCUCCAGAGCCAUGAGCGUUACUUUCAGGCGGGUAUCCUCGGGCCUGCAUCCUUCAUACAAUGGAGUAACCGCGUCUAUCUCCAGUUGAUCCAGCUUGGCUUUCUCUCGGGCGGCAGCUCUUGCAUUAUCCGUCUGCUUGAGAAGCAGCUCUUGAAUAAGAGGGUCCUGCACCCAACCCAUCGAUGGUCCAUCGUCGUCUGCUCCGCCGGCAUCUUCAUCUUCAUGAUCAUGCCCUUCGUCUGCUCCCGCAUCUUCCUCAUCAUCAUGUCCGGCAUCUUCUACAUGAUGACUGUGUACAGCAUCACCGUCGUGAUCAUGUCCUGGAGAUUCUUCGUCUUCUCGCCCGCCCGAGCCGCGGUGGUUGUCUUGCUGCCCAUCCUCAUUUCUUGCCCGACCCCCAUGGACGACUUCAUAGUCAUCUUCAUCACCUUGCCACCGAUAGCCAUCCAUGAAACCAUGCAAGAGCAGGUGGUCCCGCACCUGCCCGGAAUCCGGGUCCGCAAUAAGGAUCUUCAGCUUGCAUCUUCGACACGGACAUCUUAUCCCUAUCUCGUUCUUUUCAAGCAUCUCGGCCUUCGCGGAGCUCAAAAACCUAUUCACGAUGCCUUCGGUCAUCGUGCGGAUCAUGGUCGCCUGCGGGGUAGAGCAAAACGAUAUUUUAGAACCAAGAAAACAUUUGGCAUGACUUUCCCUAAAAAUAGGACCAAAAAGAAUGCAUAGUGCCAAAAUUCUUGCCGAAAUGGAAAUGAAUCAACAUUCUGGCAAAAUAUUGGCAACUAUCACAUUUCAAAUACCGGUACCUGCAAACACAAACAUAUAUGCAACACCACAAAAAUAUGCAACACCACAAACAUACAUAGAUCUAGCUAGGACAUAAAAAGUGCGUGUGCACGUUGUUGGAGGGAGAACAACAUAAAGAUAGCUUCCCCCUUACUUACCUAUCAAAAAAA